Molecule: long non-coding RNA, 47420 nt
Filed under: Capsicum annuum
Lineage: Eukaryota; Viridiplantae; Streptophyta; Magnoliopsida; Solanales; Solanaceae
Description: long non-coding RNA (CANN_LNC008665)
Source: RNAcentral
GUCAGAUCUGUGUGAAUCAAAUAGGUAACAUGUUAAACUGAUUCAUUAGAGGAGAGAAUUCAAAGAUGUAGUGACCAUCAUUCCUAAACAAAUAACAAAAUAAAGGGUCAAGGAGAGAACGAGCAGUGGCGGUGUAGCUGGAGGCUCGCUGGCCACUACCUUCGGUGAGGCAGCGGGAGCGGCGAAAAAAGGAAAAUGGUGAAAGGGGAAGCGUUGGCUGGUGUGUUGUCGCCGGCCGUUUGGUGUUCAACUCCAAUAGUGCUAGUAAUAGAUAGAGGAGGAUGGAAAUUGGUGGUAGUGUGGUACUCGCCGACCAUUCGGUGGUUAAAUCCGGUGGUCGGUGGUAAGGGUAGAGAGAAAAGAAAGUUUGAUUUUGGGAGAGAGAGAAAAAAUUAGAUUGUGAAAUGUGGGUGUAUAUUUUAUUAUUUGUGUGUGGUUUUAGGUAACUGAUUUUGAGUAUAUGUGUGUGUAUUUGUGGGUAGUCCAUCAGAGCACUGGUGGUGGAGAGGCGGCAGUAAGAGCAGCCAUGGAAGUUGAAUAGUGGAAGAGAGAGGAAAAGAUGUGUAUGAAUGAAAAGAGAAAAAAAUUAGAUUUUGUAUAUGUAUUUUGUUUAUGUGAAGAAAUACACCCCACCCACUUAUAUUUAUAAUAAAAAUAAGUAUCUUCUAUUAUCCAAAAAAUAAAAGAAUGUCCCCUAUUUUUAUUAGCACACCUUUUGUCCUUAGGAUAUUGAUCAAAAAAUUUUUAUCCUUUUGACCAACGGAUAAGGUUAUUAUCCAAAGUGUAGUAUCAUUGAAUUGUUAUUGUCAGAUAUGACAAGUCAUUAUGUGUAGUCAUUGUCAGAUGUGACAAGAUAUUAUUGUGUGAUCAUUGACGGAUGUGACAAGUCAUUAUGUGUAGUCAUUGUCAGAUGUGACAAGAUAUUAUUGUGUGGUCAUUGACGGAUGUGACAGACAUUAAAUUAUUAUAUUGUGUAAAAAUAAUUGAUCCGACUUAGCAUUUGCGGACUAUAAAAAAUGUACAAAAUGCAGGUAUUAAUUUGUGAUUAUGAAAAAAUGUAAAGAAUGUUGAAAAUAUUAAAAAAUAUAAUUAAUUUGAAAAUGUAAUUAAAAUGUGAUGUCAUGUCAUGUAUGUGUGCGGAUGAUUCUGAAAGUGUUAAAAUGAUAAUGAAUUGAUAAAAAAAGUCUAACAUACAGAUAAUUAUUAAUAAAUUAUGAUAAUUAAAAAAUAUGACAAAAUUCUAAAGUGAGGAUGAUUAAUAAUUGUAAAAAAUAUGUGAAAAUUGUGUUCUGUGCCCUUUAACGAUCAGGAUGCCUAAAGACAUUAAUUUUGAGUACGGAGAACAAAAAUUGAGUGUUAACAGUUGCCCCUUUAUAUUUGAGGACGAUGUAGAAGUCUUCACAUGACAAUGUUGACGUGUAGCCAAUUUUGCUCGAUAAAAAAAUAAUUUUGAUGAAAAUUCGACCGAACUCUAAUUGAGAGUUGCCUACAUACCUCAAGUUGCAUAAGGAACAGGUCAGGUGUAGUUCAAAAGAAUAGGGGAAUUUCCUCUUGCUUUGUUAUAAAAGGCAAAUGAUCAUUCGAAAUGAUUAUAAAGAAGAGGAUUGUUUGAGAACGGAAGUGCUUACAUAUUCUCGAUGCUCCUUCUGAAAUUGCCCCAGUAUCGAGCUGUGAGAUGCUGGGGAUUCAAGAUUAUGUACUUGCUGGGGAGAAAGAAUGAUUAGAUGAUUGUGAUGACCAAACUCUGCAUAGAUCGUUCUACAUAUCUCGAGUGUCGCGAGAAUCAAGUCAAUGUAGUUCGAAAUGAGAAAAUAGGGAAAAAAAAUUUAGGCGAUGGUCAAAAUUUGCCCCAUUGUAUAAUUUAUGGAUAGCAUUUGGCUUUUUGAAUGAAAAUUGAAAAAAUGUUUUGUUGUUUUGAAUUGUAUUUUUGAUUGAAAAGAUGCAUGAUGUCUUCAAUUGUCUACGGAGACUUAAGGAUGAAUGACGCCUCCGAUUGUUUAUGGAAACUUAUGUGAUGUGUGAAAGAUAUCUUCGAUUGUUAACAAUGACUUGAUGCAUGACAUCUCCAAUUGUCGAUGGAGACUGAUAUUGAUUGUCGUCUUCGAUUGUCUAUGGAGACUGAUGUUGAAUGAUGAUGUCUUCAAUUGUCUACGAAGACUAAUGACAUCUCCAAUUAUCUAUGGAGACUGGUGUGGAUUGUCGUCUUUGAUUGUCUAUGGAGACUGAUAUGAUGAAUGAUGUUGUCUUCGAUUGUAUACUAAGACUUGAUGCAUGACUUCUCCAAUUGUCUAUAUAGGCUGGUGUGGAUUGUCGUCUCCGAUUGUCUAUGGAAACUAAUGUUGAAUAAUGAUGUCUUCGAUUGUAUGGGAAUACUUGAUGACAUUUCCAAUUAUCUCUGGAGACUGAUGUCAUUAACUAGUAAAGUGAUUGAAUUCUAUGGUCUCUCGAUUAGUAGAACAGCUGGAAGGUAGUAGUCUCUCGACUGUCGUGGCUAUGAAAAUGUAAGAGCCUCUCGACUGGCGGGGAUAUUGAAAGUUAAUAUCCUAUCAACUAGCGGGGCUAAGAAAUGUAUUAUCUCUCGACUUGUGGAGCAUUAGAAAGGUAAUAGCCUCUCGAAUAGAGGAGCUAUGAAAAUGUAAAAGCCUCUCGACUGGCGGGGCUUUGAAAGGUAAUAGCCUCUCAACUGGCGGAGCUUUGAAACGUAAUAGCCUCUUGACUGGCGAGGCUAUGAAAAUGUAAAAGCCUCUCGGUUGGCAGGGCUUUGAAAGGUAAUAGCCUCUCGACUGGCGAGGCUAUGAAAAAAAAGCUAUCGACUGAUGGAGUUACUGAAAGGUAAUAUUCUCUUGACCAAGAUCUUACCUUUCUCAAUAAAUUCUUGAAUCUUGUACCUCAAUCCUGAACAUUCCUCAGUAUCAUGUCCUUGGAUAUAUAAAUUAUAUGCACACCUUUUGAACAAGUCAAAAUUUGAUGGUGGGUACUUAGGGAUCAAACCUUUUCUUGGUUUCAAAAUUCCUUGAGCAAAAAACUUUGGAAUAUGCUAAUCAAAGGUUUAGUUAAAGGGGUAAAAGUAUGAGAUUUUAGUUUCUUUGGUUGAUGAGAAUUAGAUAUCACUAGAUAAGUAUGUUGUUGGGGAUCACGCUGGUUAAAAUUUUGAUAUUGAAAAGCUUGUGGGUUAUAUGGGUCAAAAACAGCAUAAGUAGGUUUGGUAUUUGGACAUUGUGGUUCUUGAGAUGGAAGGGUUGAGAUAUCUUCUUCUAUUUCUUCUUAUGGUAAGGGUUUUUGUGCUUGAAGGGUAGCUUGUAUUGCAAAAACAUCAAUAACCUUUCCUAUUCAAAUGGGAUAUUUUAAUCUCUUCCUAAUUAAAAUCAGCUCGUCGAACCCUUGGACACAUGAGCAACAUAACUUUUGGUAGUAGAUACCAUCUAGAAACCUUAUGAAAUCUUGAACCAACUCUUUCUUGGCAUAGGAGGACGUAUCUUAGAAACUUCCAAUCUCCAUCGUGUCAUAUAAUCCUUAAAAGAUUCAUGAGUCAUUCUCCUUAUUUAUAACAAGUCCAGCAUUGCUGGAUUGGCCUUGAUAUUAAACUUAUAUUGGCACACAAAGUCUUGAGCCAUGCUCUCCCACUAUAUCAAAGUAUUGUGUGACAUACUAAGUAAUUGUUAUUCCUGAUAGGAUUUGAAUGAACAAUCUCAUCAAGAGAGCUUCAUUGUCUCUUAUGCCAACUAAUGUGCUACAUUAGUCCUUCAGGUGCGAGAUUGGGUCUCCAUGCCCAUCAAACACAUUGAAUUCUUGAAUUUUAUAUCCUAGAGGCAAAUCAAUCGUUGGAUGCAGGCACAACUUCUUAUAUCUCAAAUAAUAAAUGCCCUUGGGGAGUAGACACACAUCCAACCUCUUUUCCAAGUCAAGAAACAUUUAUGUUACCAUGUUUCGCAAAGUACCAAGGAAAUAACUAAGGAGAUGUGAGUAAGAAGGUAUCUUAUGCUGGGGAAGAAGAAAUUUGUUAGAAGAAGAAUCAAGAUGGUUAGGCAUAUUUGUCAAAUUGCAGACCUUUAGCUGAUUCGAUAUUCAAAUGUAAGACAACCUUUAAACAAAAUAAACAAGCUAACGAAAGUUACCACAUAGCACAUAUAAUUUUAACACAUAAUAAAUAUAAAAACAAAAGGCAUUCUAGAAUGAAGACUAGAACUUAAUAAGUGAUCUAGGUGUAAAGAUUUGAGCUCCUAACGCAUAAAAUAUGAUAGUAAUAGAACAUGAUGUCAUUUUACAAUUGUGAUUACAAAGAAGAUAAGAAAGAUAGGAAAUGAACAAGGUCAACUUUCAUUGAACAUCAGAUUUGUUGAUCAUACAUGACAUUGUUAUUAUCUAACUCCAUGUAAAAAAAUAACGAAAUAGGGAAAAGGAAGAUUUUAUUAUGAUGAGACCAAACUCAACAAAUAAGCACCUAUGUAUCUCUCAUACAGGGGAAUCAGGUCGACCGUAGUUCACAUUACAUAAGCAAGGAAAACAAAAAAGGAAAUUGAAAAUUGUAAAACUUGAAUGAAUUUCAAAUGUUUGGGAGUCUGGAGUAGAGAAUCAAUAUGAUAUCUUCUUCACUAUUGUUAACCAGUGCAAGUCAAUCUUAGGAAAUCAAUCUGCAUUAGAAUUUGACCCCAUCACAUUUAUCACCUGGGUAUCAAUCAUAUUUUGGAUCAUGCUCUUUAAGGAAAAACAUGCCUUAGUAGGAUACCCUUUCAUCCCAGAAUGGUAGGCAUAAAUUUGGUCAGGGCAAUACCGCCUAGACUUAGUGUCAGCCGGUACAACAGCAAUGGGUGUGAUGUAGCCCAUAUUCUUGAGUCCUUCAUACAACUGUUGUACGGUUUCACCUAGAAGAGUGUACUAUUUUGGUGGAUCUUUCUGAAGCUUAUGUUGAGGUUUGGUGGAUAAUUUUGAUUGUUGAUUUUUUGGUGAGUUUUGGAAAUACAUUGGAAGGUAGUUUGAUGUUGGAACAACAAAUGAAGGUGAGUACCAAACAGUUUGUGGAGGAUGUUUUGUGAAGGACUGGGGAUAAUAGGCUUAGACAUAUUGGAAUGAUUUUCUGGAGUUGGGUACCAUAUCAAUUGAGGUUGGGGUAUGCUUACUUCAGGCUUUAGAGGUUUUGAUAUCUCAUCGAUGGUUGUCUUUCCCCUAUUCAAAUUGGUCUCAAUUUUGAGCUUCCUCUUUAUCUUAUUAUUGAACCUCCUAAGAAAAUUAGUUGUUAAAUCGUCCCAAGAGAUCCACUUGCUAGUAUCAUUUCAGCAUACCACAUCAAUGUUGGACCCUUAAAUGAACUAACAAAGAGUUUCGUCUUAAGGUUAUCACUUUGCCCUAUAACCGAUAGCUCGUUAAGGUACUCCUUCAAAUUGGAAUGUGGGUUUCCAGACCCAUCAUAUAAUGGAAAGUUCAAGUCCUCAAUUUUAUCCUUGUCUCCUUCCUUAGCUUUGGGUGACUUAUUCAUCUCAGGCUGUUGAGAUGACCCUGCCUUAUGGUUAAGAAUUUGUCCUCCUAUUUCCUUCUCCUUGACCAUAGUUGUCGACCCAUUGAGUACUUUCAAUAGUGCAACUGAAUACCAACUUUAAGACACUCGUCGAUAUAGAAGAUGACAUAGUAUAGGAGGGAGCUAUGAAGUUAGUUUCAAAUAAUGACUCUGGAAAAUGUAGUGGCAUCUCAACUAAACCUCGGAGAUAAGUCAUUAUUCCCCUAAUUCUCUCUAUUCUUCUUUCCAUCCAUAUGAUACUCGAAAUAACUUUGUUUUGAUGCAGCCUCGAACUUUCAUGCCCAGCUUUGCUAUUGACAAGAUUGAUAAACAUUGCUUGACUAGCCAUUUCUGAUGCUUAACUUUAGUCAACCUUAGAAGACAGGACUUACGAUUAUAAACAAAGAGUACACACCAGAGUCUAGAGUGAAUAUUCUACUCAUUAGAAAAUAAUGAGUUAUACUUAUCCGAAGUGAAUAGAAGUUAUAAGAGCUCUAUGUAACUUAGAGGUUGUGAAAUUUAGAGUACGACAUGAGUAUGAUGAUAUUAAUGUCCAAGAAUCAUGGUAGGACAAUAGUAUAUAAAUGUUAGAAGCAUUAGGAAGAGGAUAUCCUAACAUGAUAAAUUGCACUAACAGAUUAUGAAUGAGGCUGAAACUCUUUAUCAAAGCAAGAGUUGAGCAUAGGGAUGAUUAAUAUACUAAUGGAUGAGUUAGGCUGAUAGAUUGAAGGGAAGCUUUUGAAUAGGCCCUAAGAGUGAAUUGUAAGGCCCUAACAUGACAAGAAUAUUAAGAGUAAAGAGUUCUAAGGUGAGGAACACUAAAAGUAAGGAGUGACUAAGACAAGAGCGAAAACAAAAGAUAGGUAAGAUAUCAAAACAUACGUAGAAAUGAAACAUAUAACAAAUAAUAUUAUGCGUCCUUAUGGGGUAUGAACCCCUUUAGACUUUGAAUGAGACUAACAUUCAACGUACCAAGGGUUCCAAGGCAUCCUAGGUUGAAUGGGAUGCAUAUUCCUUAGUAAAAGAAAUAUGUAGCCAGGAUCUAAAAAACAAGAGUGGGUUUAUGACAUGGUUCCCUCGAGUAGACAACUCGAGAGUGGGAAAGCUUGUGACUGUCGAUGCACUGCUGAUCGACCGAUCCACAAGGCAUUUUCCAGUGGGUAUUUUAGAAAAUAACAUCCGUACAACCACACAAUCUUUCGUAAAAGAAAAAAGAGAUUUCAACUGGAGGAAAGUAUUAACGGAAUACCAGUUAUAUAAAGCAGUAACGCAUAGCACAUAGAAAAAAGAACAUGCUAAGCAAUAUACACAUAAAUAAACAUGAUAACACAUAGGCAACAAAAAAGGAAAAAGGGAAAGGGAUAGACAUGGAGACAUAUGAAAAACACAUAAAAAGAGAAAAGGAGAAAGGACAAAUAAAUCAUGAUAUAAAUGAAUAAUAAAAGUAUAACAUGUAGAAAAUAAAUCAUGAUAUAAAUGAACAAUAAAAGUAGGACAUGUAGAAAAUAAAUCAUGAUCUCAAAAACAAACAUUAUACACAAACAUCAAAACAAAUAGAGAGAAUCCCACAUAAAGCACAAAUUCAUAAUGGUAAGAACCUAAGUAUUUUCAGCAAAGUUGUCAUUCUGUCGCGCCCCAUUUUUCUUGUGAAAACCAAAAUUAGACAUGACUACUCUUUUUGGGAUUAUUUAAAGAGUGUGAUGAGUCGCCACCUAACGUAUUAGGGUGCGUUAGGGCAUUGGUCUAGGCUAACUACGAACCUAUUUUUGUAAUUUAGUCUUAGUUCAUCAAAAAUUUGGGUAAGGGUUCAAAUUACCUCGAAAGGAAGGUGUUAGGCAUCUUUCGAGGUCCACAAAGGUGGUUCCCAGCCAAAUUCGUACUUUACAUGGGGAUUCUAUGUGAUCAAAUAAAAGUCAUUAUUUCAUUAAUAACUUAAUAUUAACUAAGUGAUAAAGUAAUUAAUGAACAAACAUGUUAUUUGGUUAUUCCUAUUUGAUAAUUACCUAAGAGGUAAACAACACAAGAAUUAAUAAAGGAAUAAUAAAAGCGAUAAUGACACAAAUUAUAGCAGAUGGGACUGAUUAAAUAAACCAACUACCCCAAAAUAGAUAAGCAGAUAAAAAUAAAAGAAUAAAAUCAAAAAGUCGAACCAAGGAAAUAUUUUUGAUUUCAUUCGGAUCAGAACCCCAACUUGUUUAAUCAUUAUCCGACCCAUUGACCGAAUUCUUAGACAAGUGACAAUGUCAUAAGUCGUGUAAUAUAUGUUGGAUAUCAUCACUUUCGAAUGACUACCCUCCCUCACCUAGGCUGGUUGUCAAACUUAAAAGCGUUCUAAAAAGAAAGGAUAAAACUAAUGCCUCUAGAAUGCCUAUCAUCCCACUUAUCGCCCAAGAGGCAUUGGGCUUUGCUAAUAUAGAUAACCAAAGCUAUGUUUGCUAGUUUGACCCAAAGCGCGUUAAACAUGUUGGACAACAAGUAGCACAUAAUUAUCUCAAAUGAGCCUCUUGAUUAAUUAAGAGUUAGUUAAUGUGACUAGCAUGCAAGAGAAGCAAUUAUUUAUUUUUUGAUUAAAUCUAUAGACAUGAUAUCUAAGUGUCACGUAAUUAUUAUCGACGAAGGAUAAUUGUAAAUCAUUUUUAAAACAAUGUUGUAAAUUUAUUAAGAAUAAAAAUGGGUAAGUCAAAGUAAAGUAAAUGUGUUGGGAAGUGAUACCGGUCAAUUAAUAAGCCAAAUAUGUUGUCAAUUAAUGAAAAAUACUGGAAAGUAUGCUAGGCAACAUGUUCACUUGAUGAAACUAAAUAACAUGUAGGAAUUAAAUUAGUAAAAACACUGCUGAAAAUUCAUUUCAACAUACAGAAGAUUCAUUUUUGUAUCUUUAAUAUCCUGAAAAUCAAUUUGAUGAACUGAAAAUUAACUCUAUUGUGUUGAAAGUUAAUUUUUUUUAAGUGUUGGAAGAGUAGAUUAAUAUGCUGAAAUGAUGUAAAAGGCUGAGCAUUAUUUUAUUUUUUUGAUAAAAAUAACAAUUUUGUAUGCUGGAAAUCAGUUUUAUAAGUGAAAAAUUAACUAAAACUGCUGAAUAUUACUUUUAAAUGCUGCUGAAAAAUGUUUUAAAUGUUGGAAAGUGACUUAAUAGGUUGAAACUAUAUUUUAAAUGCUGAAAAUUUUAUCAAUAUGCUGAAAAUAAAUAGAAACAUGCAGAAAAACAAAUAUAAAUAUUGAAAAUUAAUUUGACAUGUUAUAGGUUAAAUUAAUAUGCCCAAAAUAAUUUUUUUUUCAUGUCAAAAGUCUACUAACGGCCUUAAAGACAUGAUUUCUAAGUGGUAAAACAAGUUUAUAUUAAUCCUAUGAAUUUGCCUAAGUGAUUUGCGUAAGCAAACAAAAGCACAUAAAUACAUAAACCUAAGUUAUGUUUGCCUAUGUGAUUCAUAGAGCACAUAAAUCUCCGUCCCCAAGCAGUCCCUAAUUUAUUAUUAUUAGGGUAGAGUUGUACAAUAAUUACUACAGACCAAUAAUAAAUGAAAGAAAAAACACUAAGAAGAGCUAGAUUGCAUAGCCCUCAGCGACUCUCAAGUCCAUGGCAAAUCUGUCUCAUCUAACCAUUAGUCUUUAAUCUAUGAACACAAAAAAAAGAACCAAAAUACACUUUGAAUCCGAAAUAUACCUUUGGCAAUGCAUAACCAAACCCUUGGCUCUAUCGAGAUCCUAAGGAUCUCUGGAAUCCCAGGCAGGCUCACACCGAAGGAGUUAUGUGAUGCGCAAAGAUUAUUUCAGAUUCAUAAAUAAAUAUUCUAGUGGGGAACAACAUUUAACAGCAAGAGAAAGUAUGUCAUAUUGACAAAAGCAAAUAGCAUGAGCAUCCUAGUAAGUCACGAAAUAAAUGCACAAAAAUGAAUAAAAGGCUCAUGUCAUCAAACUCUUCAAAUGUUUAAAGUAAGUAAAUCGAAGUGGGAUCAUAGUCAUGUAGAAUAACAUAAAAAAAAAAUAAUGCAUCGUUCGAGAGAACUAACCGAUUAACAACACAAUAACAAAAGAAAAGUGAACUUUCAAAAGUAGAUAAACAGUCGUACGAUCAAACAAGAACCAGCAAUCCCAAAGUAGAAGCAGGAAGCAAAAUUUAACCCAAAAGUAUAGUGUGGAAGAGUAUAGAAGUUAGUGAAAAUUUUCUGUAUAGAGAGUAGGAGAGCAUGAUAAGAGAUGUCCUGAAUACAAAUGAGGGGUGGCCGUUAUAUAGUGAAGGGACCACAAAAAUAAAAGAAAUAAGAAUAUUUGAUCAUUCAAACAAGGAGAUUAUUUUUCUACAUUAAGGAGGUAAAUCUAUUAACUUCACCGAUCAUGCUAUGGUUGCAACAAAUAAACAAAUAAGAAUCUAUCUAAAUCUUAAUAUUGAAAUCUUCCAUAAACAAAAUAAGGAAAAAAAAAUCUUUCCUACUUAUUAAAGAAGUCAAGAGGUGGGUAAAAGAUAUUAGUAUCAAUCAAUUAUAAUAUCAUCUACAUUUACCAUAAUUAAUACGUAAAUGAAUAUCUGUCACACUAAAUAAGGUCAAAGAGAAAUGAGAAAAUCAAUUAGUGAAAUAGUUCAUCAAAAAUCAAGGAAAAAUCGAAUUAGACACAAAAUCAAGGUAAAUGAGUGACAUCAAUAGGCAAAAUGUACCCAUAUUAAGUUUGCUACAUAUAACCUCAACAAAAAAAUCACGCAAUAUGUCACACAUAUUACAUGUAUGGAAUUAUCUUAGAUAGAGAGAUGAAACUUCCACAAACUAAUAUGCAGCACUAAACAAGUUAAGGGUAAAAUUGGGGCUUUCACAAUUGGGUAGUGUAAAAAUGUAAAUAUGCAUAGAAUUAAGUCAACCUAUCUCAGGAAUAUCACAAAUUUAAUAUCUAAAAAUCAUUGAAUAGGUAGAAGAAGAUGACAUUAUGAAAAUUACAUUACAGAAACAAACUUGACACGGAUUCAUAGAAUCUGUCAUGUAUUUCAAUGCUUUUGGACAAAAUAUAGUUGAGCAACAGCGAAGGCAGUGGCGAAAAGAGAGGGAAUAGCAUUGGGGAUCCUUUGGUUAGCUCUCCAGCCGUAUGGCUACUUGUAGCGGAGAUGGUUGGGUUCGUUGAUGGUGGAACCGACGGUGAUGAUGGCAGUGGCGGUGCUUAUGGAUGUUUCCAUUGUUCCUUUGGUGGUGGGCGACUAUGAAGGGAAUACGCAGGCUGGAGAGGCACAAGGAUGAAUGAAGGCGGUGGAGAAGGGUGGUUCGCUAGUGGAGAGAGGAGAAUGAAGAUAAGGGAAAGGGUGGCAAUUUUGGUAUAGAGGUUGCCGACCGACUGGUAAUCACAUCCAGUGGUGGCUGGAUCUUAGAUAGAGAAUGGGAGCCCAGAGAGAGAAACAAGGUGCGGUUAUUUUGGAAUAAUGAAUUAGAGUUUAGUUCUUUAAGUUUAAAAAGGCAAGAGUAUCCUGAGUAGAUCUUAGUCAUUAGAUCAAUUUGAUUUGCGCCUGACAUGGAGGAAUUUAAAAAUAGGUCAUAAACUGGGAUUUAAAUAGGAACUCUAAGUGAUAUCAAUUUUGGCUAAAAUUGAUAUCAAUUGGAAUAAAAAAUUAGCUAGAAAUUAAACACAAGAAAGGAAAAUUGGAUAAAAGUGAUUGUUAGUUUAAUAAAUGUAAUAAAUGAAAUAAGAUGUCCCUAUUAAAAUAAAUUAAUGUUACGUAAAAUAAUUAUAAAAAUUAUCGAUAAUAAUAAUAGACAAUAUAUUUGUAAAAUAUGAGUGUGCACAUGUACGUGAAAAAAUAAUUUAAUAAAUAUUAAUAAAAUUAUGUAAAAUGUCAUACUUGAAUUAAUAAAUUAUAAAAACAAUACUAAAAAAUAAUAAAAUAAUUUGUUCAUUUUUAAAUCGUGAAUGUGGCUUGUUGAAAAUUAUCUAAUACCAAAAUAAUGCACAAAAAAUAUUAAUAUUAAAGGUUAAAUAAUUUUGACAAAAAUAGCUGUCUAAGAGAGCAUCGAGAUGUCAAAAUUGGGUGUCAACACCAAUAAUUAGUAGUGUGUAUAAGAAUUUCUCCAUUUUUUUCUCAGCUAACUGAGGUCAACUUUAGGGUAACUCCUAUAGUUUUGAGUGGUACCUCAGCCAUACCUAAGUAUCGACAAGAUUCAUUCGGCUUGCUUCAAACAAAGAUUUUGAACUGUGCCUAUUCUCAUGUUUCAAGUGGCCUCUCUAGAAAGAGNNNNNNNNNNNNCAUUUUCACAACUAUUUGAGUAUUUUUAUUUUGAAUGUAGAGACGUUCAGAGAUAUACACUCACACUCAGAAAGUUCACUGAAUGCAAUUGCCAUACCAUAGGCUUGGCCUUCAUGUAAGUAUCUACUAAUGUGAGAACACUUAGAGUAGGAUCUUGUAGGACUUGUUAUUGGCUUAUAAUGUAGGCUUGGGAUCGGGUAGGAUGACAUUUGGAAUAAAAGUGACUAGUUCCUUAAUAAGCAUUGCACUGUAUCCGUGCUUUUGACAUUUGUUGCACUUUGACGCUCGAUCUUCUUUGUUUUUCUUCUUUGCCCCUUGUUUUGUGUUUACUUCGACGUCAUUUGAAUCUUGUGCUAGAGAUUUUCUCCGUUUCUUUUCAAUAAAUUUUUUUUUGGAUGAAGAUUCUCCAUCUUUGUUGGAGUUUCCUUUUUUUUCCUUUUUUAUGAGGAUUUUUGCUCCUUCUUCUUUAAAGUCGUCUUUUAUUUUUGUUCUUCUAGGGCUAAUAUGCUAUUUGCCUUUGGGACCUUUGAUCUUGAAUCUUCAUUCACAACUUGUAUAUACUUAGUACGCUCAAGGAGGUGGGCCAAAAGAGGGAUAGUUCAUGUAAGCAAUCAAAAGGUAUAGGCUCAGAUCUGGUUAUCCAAUGAAAAACUUUCAGGCUCAAAGGGGGAAAUGCUAGGAUUAAUGUCAUUUAAUGGGCUUUGGAAGACCCGAUCGGAUCAAAGAAGGCCUACAAUCCUUUAUCAAACCAAGUGUAUCUCAAAAUUUCCCCUCAACAGAUAUUCAGGCCAAGUUCUAGAUCAAUAAUGCCAUGCAAUGAACUAAUCUAAAGCUCACCACAUAAUGCACUUGAAAUAAUGAGGUUGACUUCGUUCUUGUCUUAGAUGAAUGCAAGAGAAUUUUUUUUUCAAAUGUCACUCAGGUUUGACUAAGUGGUACCAAAAGAAUCUAUGGUUUACCAUGAAGUUAGUCUUCUCCAUCAUACCACUUUGUUCUUUCUCAUGCACACUCCUAACUAUGUUGGUACCAACCAAGUCAUAAUUUUAAUAUUUUUAUUUAUUUAUAAAAAAUAAUGUGACAGGAUCCGAACGAGGGUUUGCCUACAUAUCUUGUAAAAAUAAGAAUCAGGUCUGGGUAGUUCAGGAAAAUUUAUAAAUAUAUAUAUACAACAUGUAGGAAUGUACAAGAGUGGUGAUCAUCCUUGAAAGUAAUAUGAAAGACGAUCAGGAAGAUUACUUAUAUCAUCAAAAUUGGUCCGAUCAGAUGAUCGAGAGGAUGGAUGUCAAGCAUAAGGAGUGUUUUGAAAUUACUUCAAUAUGUCAACAAGAUUGAGGAGGUCAGACAUUGAAAAAGUUAUGGCAUUAUUUCACCGCAGUUGGCAGGAUUGUUAUGAAUGAAAGAAUAUUGAACCCUUGUUUUAAGAGUGGAGAUCAAUAUGCCGUAAAUUUAAUGGUUUACCACGUUAGAAAGAAGAAGCUAGGUGUUCUCGAAUAAAAAUUGGGUGAGAAUUUGGAGGUAGACCCGCUAGGCACUAAUGUUAUUGAGAUUUAGAUCUGAGCAGCUAUUUAUUUGCGCUAAGACCUUUAGAGAGCGUCUUUGAACUGUUACAAAAAAAUUGCCCAGUUUGAAUACUGAAGGAAUUAUUCUAAAGCAGUGAAGAGACUGAAACCUAAUACAGGGAUGCCUACGUAUCUUGUCAUGACAAGAAUCAGGUCAAAACAUAGUUCAAACUCUUUUUUUUUAAUGAGUUUAUAUAUGAUGUGAUUUAUUUCUAUAAUAGAAAUUUUCCUAACUAGUUGAGAGUAGGACCGAAUAAUUGUGAAAAGUCACACUAACAUAAAUGCACCAAUUCUGAAACUAAGAAAUCCAAAGAAGGUUCAGAGGACUGCAGUACACCCUUCGCGUGUUCAGUGUGUGAAUUGUGUACGGCCAAAGACUCAAUGAAAUUGUAGUUUAGGAUUAAAUAAAAUAAAGAAUAAUGUGUAAAAGUUUUUUUUACAAUAUACAAAUACAAUGUAUUAAACAAGUAAGGAAUAAAAGAAUUGAUAAGGCAACAAAAUUAAUUUGCACAAAUAAUGUAGUGAAUUCAUGAACAAGUCUACGCAAUUUGCAAUGUGAAACAGAUAAAAAAUCAAAGAAUUAAUAUAUGCAAAAAAUAUAAAAACACCUCCCUCAAUUGAAAAAUUGAGUCUAUCAUGGUUAGAACCUGCUGUUAGUCCCCAGUGGAGUCGCCAUUCUGUCAUGCCCUAUUUUCACCAAGGUUAAACAGAACAUGACUUAUUGACUCUAAAUGAAUUAAAAAUUUGUACAGAGUUGCCACCUAAUUUUUAGGAAAAUAAGAAAAUCUAUUUAUUUAUUAACAUGUUUGAUUUAUGUCUUAGUCUGCGAAAAUCAAUUUUGAUUCUAGGUAAGGGUUCAUAUUAUUCCGAAGAAAAGCGAUUAGGCUCCCUUCAGAAUCCACAAAUGUGGUACCCGACUACACUCAAUUUAUCAAUGAGGGAGGAGGUAAGAAAUGAUUAUUUGAAAAAUAUAAAUAUUUAAAAUAAUAUGAAAAAUGUAUGUAUAUUAAGUAUAUAAAUAAAUUUUUUGUUAUGAAAAUAUGUACAAAAGUAUGUAUAGAAAUGUACAAUUUUGAUGGAAAAGAAAAAGUAUUUUGUGACAUUUAAAAAACAAAGUAUUUUUUAUGUACUAAAAAGAAAAAGUAUUUUUUAUGAACUAAAAAGAAAAAGUAUUUUUCAAAUAAUACUUUUAUUUAAUCAAAAUCACAAAGAAAAAUAAAGAUUCAUUUGAAAAGAAAAAGCUACGUAAUAUGUAAAUGUGUGAAUUAAUUGAUUAACUUAAUUAUUUUAUGUAACUAUUAACGGCCUAAGUUUAUCCUAAAUACGCGAUAAUGAGUAUGUAAGUAAAGAAUGUUCCCGCCUGACACCCCCAAAAGUAAAUUUUCACUGUACUUUCAUCUUUAUAUACAGUUACAAGAAAUAAAAUAAGAAAUAUAGAGCUCAAAACUUUCUUCCAGAUAUCAUAGGGUGUGUUAUCGAGAAUAUGUAUACACAGGUUAGUAACAAAACAAGAUAAAUUAAGAACUAUGUGUGGGUGUGUGUAUACAAAUAUACAUAAAAAAUAGAGUCUUUUUGUUAAAACAUGGGCUUGGAUUAGAUUUUAGAUUCACCAUGGCUAUGAAGUGGUUGCUCCUAAAUCAUCUUACCAAGGCACGAAUCGUAAAACGUUUUGUGUUGUUAUAUUUUAAAGAUUUUAUCAUCACCCGAAUUUAUUUUUUUUUGUUAUGUCUUUGUAUACGCAAUGUCCAUCUUUUAUUUGGGAAGGCCUCGAAAAUCGACAGGAGUUUCUUCAUUGGCCAGGUAUUGGCCCGUGAUAUAAAAUAAUAAAUUUUGAGCAAAUAAAGUUCGUCUUUUGUAAUGGGGUGGCCUCAAAAAUCUGAUGGAGAGAUAUUAUAAUCGGCCAUGUAUUUAUUUUAAUAUAAAUAAGUAAACUUGAGAAAUAAAAAUCCGGCUUUUGUUAUGGGGUGGCCUCGAAAAUUUGACUGAGAGAUAAUGUCAUUGGCCAAGUGUCAACCCUUGAUAUAAAAUAAUAAAUUUGAGAAAAUAAAGUUUGUCUUUUGUAAUGGGGUGACCUCAAAUAUCCGAUGGAGAGAUAAUGUCAUUGACCAAAUAUUUAUUUUCCAGUGUAAUGAAUUUAAAGGGGCGAAAACAGUCAAUUUAAAAUUAGCAGGAAAAGAGAAGGAACACUAAAAAAAGUAAAUCAAUCCAUGGUAGAGACAAAAUAGCUGAAGAAAUAGCAUCCUGAGAACAAAUUCCCAAUCUAAUUUCAGGUCAAACUUUAGCAAAGCAACAUCAAAAUAACUCAUGUACAAAUAUAAAACAAAUGCUAGUAUCGCCAGAGAACAAAACAUCAUACAGAACAACAAUAUGAUAAAUAAUUAAAAAGAAGCACAAUUAUUUAUAAAUUAAUGUUCAAGGGAGUAAACACCGGAAAACCCAUAGUUUUCGGUAUUGCAGUAGUGGUGGUGGCAUAGCGGAGUUGAUUUAAUGGCAUUUGUUGGAGCAACUUCGGAUAAUCAAAAUUCGGUCAAAUCUGUGUGAAUCAAAUGGGAAACAUGUUAAACUGGUUCAUAAGAGGAGAGAAUUCAAAGUAGUGGUGACUAUCAUUCCCAAACUAAUAACAAAAUAGAAGGGCAAGUAGAGAGAACGAGCGAUGGUAGUGUGUCUGGACAUCGCCGGCUACUACCGCCGGUGAGGCAGCGUGAGCAGCAGAAAAGCAAAAAUGGUGAAAACGACGGUGUUGGCUGGAUUUUUAUCACCGGCCAUCCGAUGUUCAAAUUCGGCAGUAUUAGUGAUCGAUAGCGGAGUCUGGAUAUUGGUAGUGGUGUGGUGGUCACCGGCUUUCCGGUGGUUAAACCCGACAGUUAGUAGUAAGGGUAGAGAGAAAAUAAAGUUUGAUUUUGGGAGAGAGAAAAAAAAUCAGAUUGUGAAGUGUGGGUGUAUAUUUUAUUAUGUGUACUUUUUGUGUGGUUUUAAGUAACUGUUUUUGAGUAUAUGUGUGUGUAUUUGUGGGUACUCCAUCGAAGCUCCGGUGGUGGAGAGACUGCAGUGAGAGCAGCCAUGGAAGUUGAAUGGUGUAAGAGAGAGGAAAAGAUGCGUAUAAAUGAAAAGAUAAAAAAUCAGAUUUUGUAUAUGUAUUUUGUCUAUGUGAAAAAAUACACCCCACCCACUUAUAUUUAGAAUAAAAAAAGGUAUCUUCUAUUAUCCAAAAAUUAAAAGAAUGUCUCCCUUUUUUUUUUUAUAAUAGCACACCCUUUAGUUCUUAGGAUAUUGACCAAAGAAUUUUCAUCCUUUUGACCAAUGAAAAAAAUUAUUAUCCAAAGGGUAGUGUCAUCGAGUUUUCAUUGUCAGAUAUGACAAGUCAUUAUGUGUAGUCAUUAUUGGAUAUGACAAGAUAUUAUUAUGUGGUUGUUGUCGGAUGUGACAAGACAUCAAAUUAUUAUACUGUGUAAAAAUAAUUAAUCCGACUUAGCAUUUACGGACUGGUAAAAAUGUACAAAAUGCAGGUAUUAACAUGUAAUUAUGAAAAAAAUGUAAGAAUGUUGAAAAUAUUGAAAAAUGUAAUUAAUUUUAAAAUAUAAUAAAAAUGUGAUGUCAUGCCAUGUACGUGUACAGAUGAUUGUGAAAAUGUCAAAACGAUAAUGAAUUGAUAAAAAAAUCUAAUAUACAAAGAAUUAUUAAUAAAUUAUAAUAAUUAAAAAAUAUGAUUAAAAAUCCUAUAAUGGGGAUGAUUAAGAAUUGUAAAAAAUAUGUGAAUUAUGUUUCAUGCCAUUUAAUGAUUAGGAAGCCUAAAGACGUUAAUUUUGAGUACGGAGAGCAAAAAUUGGGUUUCAACACCCCCAGAUCUUCAUUGAUGAGGUGAGAAAGAUCACUCAAAUUAUGCAUGUUACCGAUGAGGAGAGUGUAGAAUUGGAAUCCUAUAGGUUGAAGGAUGUUUCUUAUGAUUGGGUUCUUAUAUGGAAGAAUGGUAGAGGUGAGAAUGGAGCUCCUAUGAGUUGGCAGGUAUUUCAGGAUGCAUUUCUGGAAAGGUUCUUUCCGCGUGAGAUGAGAGAAGCUAAGGUUUAGGAAUUUAUGAACCUGAGGCAGGGCUCGAUGGCGGUGAAGGAGUACUGUCUUAAGUUCACUCAGUUGUCAAAAUAUGCUCCCAAGUUGGUAGUUGAUCCUAGAUCUAGCAAGAGUAAGUUUGUUAUUGGUGUGUCUGGUUUGUUAGUUAAGGAGUGUAAGACUGUCAUGCUUGUUGGGUAUAUGGAUAUUGCUAGGUUGAUGACUCAUGCUCAACAAAUUGAGGCAGAGAGGUUGAAGGGAAGAGAGAGGGGAAAUAAGAAGGCUAGAAUUGGAUAGUUUGAGUAUGGUCAACCAAGGUCUGAAAGGAGAAAUUAUUUACAGUUCUAGGGUCAUUCAUCUAUGCUAGCACCAUCUUCAUCUAGUGCCCCUGCACCCAGAUCCAAGAAGGAUCAGUGGGAAAGGACUUGCCUAGUUAUCAAACAUGUGCAGAGUAUGGUAGAAGCCAUUCUGGUGAGUGUUUGAUAGGAAAGAGGGGUUGUUAUAGAUGUGGCAAGUUGGGUCACAGAGUCAAAGAGUGUUCAUAUGCUAAGUAAGAAGGUAGAGAUAUUCGUCCCCAGACUCAGGGUACUAGCGCACCAACUUCUCCAGGUUUCCCAGUCCCUCCUUAGGGCACAUCAUCUAGUACCGGUGGUGGUUAGUGCCAGAAUUUAUUCUAUGCAUUACCAUCCUGCUAGGAGUAGGAGAGUUCAACAGAUAUUGUUACUGGUAUGCUUCAUGUCUUCCAUUUUGAUAUUUAUGUGAUGUUACACCCAGAUUAUAUCUCUCUUAUGUGACUCCUUUGAUUGCGGCAAAUUUUGUGAUAGGUCCUAAAAAGAUCUCUAAUCCCUUCUUAGUUUCCACCCAAAUGGAUGAGUCAGUUGUUUCUAGACGGGUCUAUAAGAAGUGUCCUAUUACUGCCGUCCAUAAGAUCAUACUAAAAGACCUAAUAGAGUUAGAAAUGGUAGAUUUUGAUGUCAUUCUAGGCAUGGAUUGGCUCCAUUCAUACUAUACAUAAAUAGAUUGUCGCACCCAAGUGGUGUAGUUUUAGUUUCCUGAUGAGGCAAUUUUUGAGUGGGAAGGUAGUUCUGAAUCUUCUAAGAGUCAUUUCAUAUCCUUUCUUAAGGCCAAAAAGUUGAUAUCAAAAGGGUGAAUUUGUCAUUUAGUUUGAGUCAAAGACACUAAGUCUGAAGCUCCAACAGUUCAGUCAGUCCAUGUAGUCAAUGAGUUUCCUGAGGUUUUUCUCAAAGAUUUGCCAAGGGUACCUCCCGAUAAAGAAAUAGAAUUCGGUAUUGAUCUUCUUCCUGAUACUUAGCCCAUUACCAUCCCUCCAUAUUACAUGGCUCCGACCGAGCUUGAAGAUUUAAAAGAGCAGCUAAAAGACCUCUUAGAUAAAGGUUUCAUAAGGACUAGUGUUUCUCUAUGGGGCGCUCCAGUCCUGUUCGUACGAAAGAAAGAUGACUCUCUCUGAAUGUGCAUUGACUACCGCCAGUUGAAUAAAGUCACAAUCAAGAACAAAUAUUCUCUUCCUAGGAUUGAUAACAUAUUCGACCAGCUUCAGGGUGCAAGUUAUUUCUCUAAAAUAAACUUCAGAUCAUGAGAUCUUCAGCUUAGAGUAAGGGAAUGUGAUAUUCCAAAGACAACCUUCAGAACCCAUUCUGGUCACUUUGAAUUUCUAGUCAUUUUCUUUGGGUUGACGAAUUCCCCAGCACCCGUCAUGGACUUAAUGAAUAGAGUGUUCAAAUAGUACUUGGAUAUGUUCAUCAUAGUCUUUAUCGAUGAUAUUUUUGUCUAUUCCCAUAGUGAGAAUGACCAUGCAGACCAUCUCAAAAUUGUGUUGCAAACUCUUAGAGACCAUUAAUUGUUUGCCAAAUUCAGUAAGUAUUAAUUUUGGAUAAGAUCAGUAGCUUUCCUUGGCCAUAUUAUUUCUGGUGAUGGCAUUAGAGUUGAUCCUCAAAAGACCAAAGCAAUGAGAAACUAGCCUAGAGCUAUUUUUCCAUCAGACAUCAGGAGUUUCUUGGGUUUAGCUAGCUAUUACCGAUGGUUUGUUAAAGGGCUUUUAUCUAUUGUGUCCCCCAUGUCUAGAUUGACUCAAAAGAAAGUUAAGUUUCGGUGGUCAGAUUCUUGUGAGAAGAGUUUUUAGGAGUUGAAGACUCGACUCACUUCAGCCCCAAUUUUGACGCUACCAGAUGGUUCAAAUGGAUUUAUUGUUUAAUGUGAUGCUUCUAGAGUUGGUCUGGGUUGUGUUUUGAUGCAGAGAGCAAGGUCAUAGCCUAUGUCUCUAGACAGCUUAAACCUCAUGAGAAGAAUUAUCCCCCACAUACUUUAUCCUACACUUGAGGAGGCCAUAUACCAUGAUCAUUGGGAAACGAAGAGGGCGGGCCCCAGACAGCUCAAGAAAGUAUGCAAAGUAGGUCUUCUUAAAAAGUCCAUCUAUGUUUUCCUUCUUCAUAAUACUGUUAAGUUCGUUAAAAGGUUUCCCCAACUAACAUUUAAGUACAACAUCAUGAAAUACUGCAUUAGGGUUACUCAUCGACAUCGCAACUUGAAACCCAUCGAUACUAAUAGUUUUGACAAAUUCAUGCUGGGAUUUCGAUGUUAUUUCAAGCCCCAUUGUUGAUAAUGAGUUAUCACUUUCCUCAGCUUCAUUUUUCCCUGACUGAGAUUGUUCUAGAAGUUCCUCUGAAUCUAUUUGUAGUCUAGACUUUUUUGUUGGGUGGUCAGAAGUUGAUCCACUUUUAAUUUUUUUUUAUUUUGGGAGACAUCUUUUAACUACAAACAAUUGAAAAACAAAAAAAUACAUUGCAUUUGAUGUCUGCAUAAUUUUUUUUAAAAAGGUAAGACAAAUUUCAAUAAAUUAUUCUACGCCACAUAACAAAAAAAUACUCCAACAGACAUCCCAUCAGUUAGAACAGAUGGGGAAUCUAUUUGAAAACCUAUUUAGUAUCUCCCAAUAGAUAUUCCACCUAUUGCAACAGGUGAACAAAUUUCAAUAAAUUAUUUUACGCUACAUUACAAAAAAAAUACUCCAACGGAUAACCCAUCAGUUGGAACAGAUGGGGAAUCUAUUUGAAGAACUAUUUAAUAUCUCCCAACAGAUCUUCCACCCGUUGCAACAGACGGACCACCACCACCACAACCAAUGCCACCACUAAUGCUACCAAUACCACCACCAAUGCCACCAACACCAACACCAAAACCACCGACACCACCGCCAAAAAGCACAAAUACUAACACCACCAACAACUGCUACCUAUAAAACCACAAACACCAUCUAACAAUACCACGACAGUUAACAAAACACUGAGAGAAAAACUAGGGUUUUCUCAGGUGCUUCCUACUUUUUUAGCAAAAUUGUUAACCCAUUCUCGAAGGUAAUACAACUAAAAGUCUUGUUUUUCAUCAUUAACUAAAAAGCCCUAUUUUUUAGAAUAAAGAACAAAUGUAGAACUCUUCUCAAACUCUAUUACCUGCGAAGACAAAGAAAACGACAGAUACAAAUAGGAAUGAAGUCGAAAAAAACAACUAUAUGUGGUCAUAAAUGGGAAGAAAAUUGACCUGUUUUAAACGGUUGAGCAAUAUAUUGAGUCAUUGUUGUUUGUAUUGUGGAGACAGAGAGGAGACCCCGAGAGACAGAGAGAGAGAAAAAAGAGAAAACUUUAUAUUUGAAAUGAAAAGUUUUUCAUGCAAAUUGAUGAUUUGUAUGGGUUAAGUUGUAAUUUUGGAAAAGAAUGACAAGUAUUGAAAUUGCUAAUUUGGUCUGAAUUGAUCUUAAUUAAUUUUAAAAAUGUUAAAAGAUAUAGUUUUUAAGACAUUGAGUUGGUGAGAACUCAUUUUAAUUCAAAGUGAUCGAUCGAUGACUCAGGUCGGGAUAAAUACAGUACCAACGCCAUGCAAUUGCAAAGACUUGAUUGGAUUUAUAGUUGACCCUAUGAUCUCAUUCAUUCAUCUCUAGUUCCACCUAAAUCAACUUAGGUACUAUCACUAUCCUAACAUUGAGUUCAUGAGAACUCAUUUCAACUCAGAGUGAUCGAUCGACCACUCGGGUCGUGAUGAAUGCAACACCAAUGCCAUGUAAUUGCCAAGACUCAAUUGGAUUUAUAGUUGACCCUAUGAUCUCAUUCAUUCAUCUCUAGUUCCACCUAAAUCAACUUAGGUACUAUAACUAUCCUAUUAUUUAGUUGAUGAGAACUCAUUUUAACUCAUAGUGAUCGAUCGACGACUCAGGUCAGGAUGAACGCAAUACCAACGCCAUGCAAUUGUAAAGACUCGAUUGGAUUUAUAGUUGACACUGUGAUCUAAUUCAUUCAUACUUAGUUCCACCUAAAUUAACUUAGGUACUAUCACUAUCCUAACAUUGAGUUGAUGAGAACUCAUUUCAACUCAGAGUGAUCAAUUGAUGACUUGGGUCUGGAUGAACGCAAUACCAACAUGAUGCAAUUGCCAAGACUCAAUUGGAUUUAUAGUUGAGCUUGUGAGAUCAUUCAUUCAUCUCUAGUUUCACCUAAAUCAACUUAGGUACUGUCACUAUCCUAACAUUAAGUUGAUGAGAACUCAUUUCAACUCAUAGUGAUCGAUCGACGACUCGGGUUAGGAUGAACGUAAUAGCAAUGCCAUACAAUUGCAAAGACUUAAUUGGAUUUGUAGUUGGCCUUGUGAGCUCAUUCAAUCAUCCCUAGUUCUACCUAAAUCAACUUAGGUACUAUCAUUAUCCUAACAUUGAGUUGAUGAGAACUUAUUUCAACUCAGAGUGACCGAUCGAUAACUUGGGUCUGGAUGAACGCAAUACCAAUGCCACGCAAUUGCAAAGACUCGAUUGGAUUUAUAGUUGACCUUGUGAGCUCAUUCAUUUAUCCGUAGUUCCACCUAAAUCAACUUAGCUACUAUCACUAUCCUAAUAUUGAGUUAACGAGAACUUAUUUCAACUCAGAGUGAUCGAUCGAUGACUCGGGUCUGGAUGAAUACAAUACUAAUGCCAAGCUAUUGCAAAGACUCGAUUGGAUUUGUGGUUGACCCUAUGAGCUCAUUCAUUCAUCCCUAGUUCCACCUAAAUCAAUUGCAAUAAAAUUUAUUGUAACAAAUGAUUGAGUUGUUGAAAAUUUUUAAACAAAUAUUCAUAUUUGUUGCAAUAGAUGACAUAUCUGAUUUAAUUAUCAAGUAGACAUUUGCAUAUGUUUUUAUAGAUGACUGAGCUGUUGGAAAUUUUCAAACAGAUAUUUAUAUCUGCUGGAAUAGAUAACAAUUUGAUUUAAUUAAUUAUCAAAUGGACAUUUUCAUUUAUUGUCAUAGAUGACUGAACUGUUAGGAUUUUUAAACAAAUAUUGAUAUCUGUUGUACCAGAUGACAGAGCUGUUUGGAUUUUUAAACAGAUAUUUAUAUAUGUUGCAAUAGAGGAUAUAUCUGUUUGAAAAUCUUUUUUUCUCUUUUAAUUUUAAACAAGCUUUUGUCUGAGUAGAUAAUAUCAUGUAGUACUUACUACUAAAGGCGGUAAAAAAUAUUUUUUGAAUAUCUCAAAAGUGAGUUCAUUGAGCAGUCUUGUCUUGUCUUUUCAAUGUCACUAGUCUAAGUCUUCCUUGUGCCCCUUAAAUUAUUAAUGAAAUUAAUGAAUAUUAAAUACUAAAUAUUGAAAAUCCCACGUCUAUGUACACAAUACAUCUAUAUUAAUUAUCUCAUCUCUCUUUCUUCAGCUGCAGUUUAUUUUAUUCAACUCUUAUUUUUUUCUUUCUCUCCUUUUUAGGGUUAUCAUAACCUUUUUUCUCUAUUUUCUCUUCUCUUCUCAUAAAUAUCCUUUCGGAGCUAAACUGAUCCAUAUCUUUCUUUGACUAAAAUUGCUAUUUUGAUCCCCUUUUUGACAUUAAGAUAUGGUUCAUUAUUGCUCUUUCAUUCUCGUUUUCUUCUUUGCAAGUUAUUUACAUCUGUUUUUUUAUUUAAUUACUAUUUACCUAUAUUAUAUUUACUAAAAAAUUUGAAGGAACUUUUCAGCGUUGAAUAAAAAAAUUGAGAAUUUUUAUUACAAUAUGCAAAAAAAGUCAUCUAUUGGGAGAAGUUUAAAAGCCUUGUUGGCAGUAUCAUUUUUUUGUAUGCAUUUUGUUUGUUUAUUUAUUGUUGAUGCAAUUAUUGAUAUUGGUGGUGGGGUUGGCGUUGUUGGAACUUGUGCUGUGGUGUUGUUGAUGAUGUUGUUGGAACAAAUGUUAUUGUUUCUUUGUUGUUGAUGUUUUUUAUUUAUAGUUUAUGCUGUUGUUGAUGUUGCAACAGAUGGAGAAACUGUUGGAGCUAAUCAAACCACCAGAAAGGCUGGUUUGAUGUAGUCUAACAGACUCCACAUCUAUCGCAACAGACUCCAUAUUUGUUGCAACAGACUCCAUAUCUAUUGCAACAGACUCUACAUUUGAUGUAACAGGCUCUACAUCUAUUGCAAUAGAUGGAUAAUGUUCUUUCUAUGACAUCAAUUUUUUUCCUCUUCAUUAUAGAUAUAAGGAACUAAUAGUUGAUUGGGUUUUUUCGGUUAUCAUGGAAACACACAUAGAGUGCACUGAUUUUCUAAAUGUUAUUUUUACUAAUUAGUCAUAGAUCAUUCAAACAGGAUGUCUGCAAUUUUAGAGUUAAGUUUGGUAGGUCUGAAUUGAUAAGGCUGAGGGACCAUGAAUAUGGUUCUGAUACCCUGUUAAUAUUUAAUGUCGGAUGUUGUUCAUAUUUAUUUGUCAAGCAUUGUUAAGGGAUCUAGUUUUGGUGUCAUUGUAAAGAGAUUCAAUAGCGAUUAGACUAACUUUUAGGGUGCAUUGGACCCUUAGAGGGCCUUCAAAGCUUAGGACUGCAUCUAACAAGAACAAAAAAUCAAUAUAGUUAUUGCCCUAGCCCAAAUUUAUAUGGUUGGGUUGCUCGGGGUGAUAAUUAUAUACCAAAAGGUGUGGUAGGAGAAUGCCUUCAAGGGAAAAUAGGUGGUUGAUGAAAGACUAUAUCAUCUGAGAGCUAAUUGAAGAUGAUACAUAGGGUAGAAAGUAACUUCUAGCUAAUCUGGCCAAUGGAAUUAUCUUAAAAGAUGCAACAUCUGAAUCAAGUGCAAAUAUGAAAGUGUAUCCGGUAAUGUAAUUUUGUAUGUUAUCUAUCUAGAAAAACAUAAUGUAGAUUGACAUUUCUAGGGAGCUGCGUGGUUAGGAUUAUCACCUAGAUAGAAAAUAGGAGAAGACCAACAAAGCAGCCUCACGGGCAUCGAGGGUUGAAAUGAUGUACAACAAGUCUAGAAAACUUACGCCAAUAGCAACUAUAGUUAAAAUAAGGAAUCUAAGCGAAGACGAAAAUUUUUGAAUUUUAAAUUUCAUCCUAUGCAUUCUUGUUUGUGUUUUCGAUCAGGUCCACUACCGUUGACCUGAUCGAAACCACAAACGAGACUGAAAGGCAAAUUGCCUCCAGCUUGCUGAUUCUGUAUUCAAGCUGGUCAUUUCCGUCUUUGAAGUUGGUCAAGAGUUUCUUAUCUCUUGUGAGCUCGAUCAAGGACACCACCUUCAAAGUUGUAGCAUUUUAGGUGCCCUUCAGAAUAGUUUCUUCAGAAGCCUUAAAGGAUACAUUGAGGGUCACUGUAUUUGUUUUAGGUCACAAUAUGUUGAUGCACACUAAAGAUGUGGUCCUAACAGUUGAACAACACAAUUUUAUCGAGCGUUGCUCAAUGCAUCUUGCUCAACCAACUUUAUAAAUUAAUAAGCAUGGAGUUAGGUAGAGUGUGAUCUAAACCGACUCUACCAAGCCUAUCAAAUGUUAAGUAACUCAAGGCUCAUUACCCUAUAAAAAUAUGACCGAGUUAGUGCACAAAUUAAAUGAGCUCAAUCUCUUAGACUUUUUGUUGAUCGCUCUUCUCCAAUAUAGAUGACAAGAUAUUUGCUAUGCAAAAGUCUACACCGUCACCAAACAUGCUUGCCAGGGAGCAAUUCUUCAAAGGCAUCAAUAAUAAUCUCUCAAUAUCAAGUGAUAUUGAGAGAUUCCUAGUCAUGACUUCCCAAGACUUUUGCUACGGCAAGAAUUUUUGCUGAUGACAAGAUAUUCGCCAUGCAAAAUUAUACAACAGAUGGGCACUUAUAUUGGAUUUAUGAUCAAGGUUCUAUUCAUUGUCAUCUAGUGUAGACUUUUGCAUGGAGAAUAUCUUGUCAUCAGCAGAAAUUCUUGCCGUUGUGAAAGUCUUGGGAAGUCAUGACUAGGAAUCUCUCAAUAUCACUUGAUAUUGAGAGAUUACUAUUGACGCCUUCUGAAGAAUUGCUCCCUGUCAAGCAUUUCUGGUGACGAUGUAGACUUUUUCAUAGAAAAUAUCUUGUCAUAUAUAUUGGAGAAGAGUGAUCAGCAGAAAGGCUUAAAGAUUAAGCUUGUUUGAUUUGUGCACUAACUCGGUCAUAUUUUUUUUGAUAGGGUAAUGAGCUUGGAGUUAUGUAAUGUUUGGUAGGCUUGGUAGAGUCGGUUUAGAUCACACACUACAUAACUCCUUUCUUGUUAAUUUAUCAAAUUAGUUGAGCAAGAUGCAUUGAGCAACACUCGAUAAAGUGUGUUGUUCAAUUGUUGGGACCAUAUCUUCAAUGUACAUCAACAUAUUUUGACCUAAAACAAACACAACAACCCUCCAUGUAUCCUUUAAGGCUUCUGAAGAAAGUAUUCUAAAGGGCUUCUAGAAUGCCACAACUUUGAAGGUAGUGUUCCUGAUCGAACUCACAAGAGAAGAGGAACUCUUGACCAACUUUGAAGAAGUCAACAACUAGCUUGAAUACAGAAUCAGCAAGCUGGAGGCAAGCUUGAAAAUUAUUGGAAUUUACAUACUGCAGUAAGCAUCUGAUCUUCUCCAAGGAAUAUUGAAAGUAUGCUAAGGCAAUAAAACACAAUCAAUUAAUCUAUAUUUCUAAGGAAGUAAUGAUACUCUAUUUGCCUUCCAAUCUCAUUUGUGGUUUGGAUCAAGUCAACGGUAGUGGACCUGAUCGGAAACACAAACAAGAAUGCAUAGGAUGAAAUUUAAAAUUCAAAAAUUACUGCCUUCGCUUAGAUCCCUUAUUUUAACUGCAGUUGCUAUUGAGUAAGUUUUCUAGACUUGUUGUACAUCAUUUCAGCCCUCGAUGCCCGUGAGGCUUCUUUGUUGGUCUUCUCCUAUUUUCUAUCUAGGUGAUAAUCCCAACCACGCAGCUCCUUAGCAAAGUUUCCAUCUGCAUUAUUUUUCUUCUAGAGAGACAACAGACGAAAUUACAUUAUCGGAUACACUUUCAUAUUUGCACUUGAUUCAGAUUUUGCAUCUUUUAAGAUAAUUCCAUCGGCCAGAUUCGUUAGAAGUUACUUUCUACCCUAUGUCUCUUUUUCAAUUAGAUCUCAGAUGAUAUAGUCUUCCAUCAACCACCCAUUUUUCCCCGAAGGCAUUCUCCUACCGCACCUUCUGGUGUAUAAUCAUAAACCCGAGCGAGCAACCCAGCCAUAUAAAUUUUUGCUAGGGGAAUUUCUAUUGAUUUUCCAUUCUUGUUUGAUGCAAUGCGAUACUUUGAACGUGUUCUCAGAGUCCAGUGCACACUUAAAGUUAAGUCCAAUCGCUGUUGGUUCUCUGCAAUGACGAUAAAUAUUGAUCACUUCUCAAAACUUAACACGCAUAAACACGAGCAACAACCGCCAGUAAUUUGUAACAAAGUAUCUGCACUAUCUUCAUGAGGUCCUCAGCCUUAUCAAUUUCAAAUCCAUCAAACUUAAUGGUAUAAUGCAGGAUCUUGUUUGAAUGAUUAGUGCCUAAUCGAUUAAAAACUGCAUUCAUAAAAAUAUUAUACUUUGUGUGUGUUGUCCCGGUGACCUUAUAAGUAAUACAUACUUAAAUCCCACACAUAUGAUAGUGGAUCUAUCUGCAUGCACCUUAUUCUUCCUAGCCUAUUGUAAUACCCCAAACUUUCUUUAAGUCGAGUUUCAUCCUUAAGAAGAGUAAGGGCUGACUUUCCAAGUGAGAAAUAUUUUAAACCAUGUAAAAUUUACCAAAUAUCAAAUUUUUAUCAUGUGGAUAAUUGAAUAAGCUUUCCGUCAAUACCAUAUUCAUCAAAAUUUGAUGUCAGGGUAAAAAGUUAUAGACAUUUUACAGAAAGUUGUCUGAACUACCCAGGUGCGACGGGCAGGCCGAUGAACCGUUGAGCUAGCAACGGACCAUCUCCCAUAGUCGUCGCCAUGAGGUAGUAGUCCUAUUCACUGGCCAAGUAAAAUGGUCAGGACCGACAAACUGACAGACCACCGAGCUAGAGACGGACCGUUGCCCCAGGGCAUCGCGACGAGACAGUAAGUCCCAGUUUUGGUCCAGGUGCAAUGGUCAGUCUGACGGAUCGUCGAACCAGAAUCGUAUCGUCGUAUGUCCCAUUCAGUGAUUUUUAGUCAUUUUAGAAAGGGCUUUUUGGUCUUUUUUUCACCCUUUUUAGUAUCUAUUUAUAUCAUAUCAAGGCUCAUAACUUUAUUAUUCAUCUAUAACAUCAAAAGCUAGGGUUUCUUUAAAGAUCAAAAACCCAAGAACAAGAACAAAACCCUUCUUCAAUAAAACUCCAGAAACGAAGAAUCUCUCCAAGAACCUUCAAGAAAUAGUUUCCUAAGGUAUGUUAGAUGUUGAUUCUUGGGUUUCUUCCACCCAAAAAGUUCAAGAAUCCUUUUAAAAAUUACAAAGUUUAUGUAUUUAUGAGAUUUCAUGAUUUAUAUGUAUUGAAGUUCAUGAUUAUGUGUUGUUGAGUUUUAAUUCAUGAUUUAGAAUGCAGGUAUUAAGAAUUGAUUCUAGCAUGUGAUUAAUUGUGUGAUGUUCAUGAUAAACCCUCUUCAAGGUGCAUGUUGGUUGAUGAAAUCAUGAUACUUGGGUGUAGUAUUUGUUGUAUAACUAAAUCAUGCUCCCCACAUGUUUGACAAAAUUCUUAUGUGAAAGAAAUAGAGUCAAUAUAGCACGGUUAGCAAGAAAUCCCCAAUUAUUUAUAAGUUCAUGUAAGCCAAGUGUUUGUUGAAAAGCCUUAUUGAAUGAUUUAUGAUAUGUUGUAUGCAUUCCCAUUCAUGUGUAUUCCUUAUUAAGUGAACUUUGAGAUAUUGGUAUGCAUUUCCUAUACCAUUACAUAUUUAUGAUAUUCAAGUGAUUGGCGAGAUGUCACAUUGAUUAUGUUGUAGAUGAUAGCCUAUUGUCAUGUCAUGUAUGAGUUAUCCCGUUUUAUGAUAUUUAUGUUAUCGAGUCCUGGGGGUAUCUAAUACUUGAAAUUUAGCUGCUUGUCUAGAGCUGAGUUAGUCUCAAGAUAAUCUCAGACGUGCUAUGCUCAGUAGAAUUCAGACAUUUACAGAACUUAAGGAAAUUCAGUGAUCUCAGUAUAAGUGCAAUCCAUUCUUAGUAUCAGUCUAAUCUGACUUAGUAUUUAGUUCUAACUAAACAGUAUUCAAAAGUAAUCAGUAUUCAGUAGUAUUCAGUAUUCAUCUCAGACUUCAGUGAGUCUCAGUAGGCUAACAAGAAUUCAAUAGCAUUUAGGAAUAUAGUAGAAUCCAAGUGACAUUCCGUCAGUUAAUGAAACCAAGUGAACUCAGUCAGAUCAGUCAAGAAAUAUGAAUAGUAACAAAUUCAGCUCAGUCUAAGUUCAGUUAAGAAUCAGUUUAAAGUCCUUUAGUUGGGAGUAUGAACUAGCACCGAGCGAGUACAGGGAUAACGGCUUCCCCGUUAGAGAGGUAGAGUCAUUAGUAAUAGUCCCUGAUCUUCAGAACUGUAUAGCCAGUGCAGGAGCAGGAGUCACCCAUUAGAUUAAGGCUUGACUAUCAUACUGCCUUAGGCUUGACUUCCUGUUCAGGGUCACCCGUUAGAGAGGCUUGACCAUAGUAUAGGUCUUUACCCGUGGCACGAUAUUGAUACUUUUCCAGCUGGGGUUACAGGUUGGACCCCACUAAUUUAGAUUUGGGUCAUAUCGGUUAAGUGAGAAAUCCUACAGUUGCAGUUUCAGUAUCAGUCUUCAGAGUAGUAAUCAGAAAUUAAGACUGUCAGAUAUAGUCACCCUCUCAGUAAGGAACUUAGAUAGUUCUAUAGAUUCAUGAACCACCUAUUAGAUAGGUCUGGUCUCACAUAAAAUUAAUCAGUAUCAGUACUAAUAGAUCCAGAGAUCACCCAUUAUAUAGGACUGAUCUCAAACUUAGUCCAUUAUUUCUAAUAUUAAAAGAUUUAGAGAUCAACCGUUAGAGAGGCUUGAUCUCCGAUUUAAUUAGUCGAUAGUAGCAAGCUCAAAACUCAGUUAUUAAUAUGAGUAGAUUCAGUUAUUCAGUAUUUUAGAGAUAGUAAACUCAAAUAUCAAUAUUAGUAGACCCAGAUAGUAAACUCAAAUAUCAGUAUUAGUAGACCCAGUCAUCAGUAAGUCAGUAUUCAGAGUUUGUAUUCAGUGUUACUGCAAUUCCAAUUUUGGUUUGUGCGUUUAUGCAUAUAUCCCCAUUCAGUAUUCUCAUGAUAUUCAGUUAAGUGAUAUUCAUGUACAAGCCCUUGUAUUCAGCCUUACCUCAUCUAGCAUACCAGUACAAUAAAAGUAUUGAUGUAUACCUUCUUACGCGAUGGUGUCUUAUACCAUAGGUUCAGAUGUACGGGAUCUAGAGCACCCAUAGCAUUCCAGACUUAGUUAGCAGUAGUAGAUAUAGCAGUGAGUCCUCUUCAUUCGAGGAUGAUCCAUAUUUUCUUAUCGCAUUAGAUUAGAUUUAUUUUCAGUAUAUGGAGUGUAACACCCCAUAUUUUUGGGCUAGAGUUUAGACCAUCGUUUCUAUGUAUAUAGACCUGAACUGAAUUAUUCUUGUAAUGCCCCGCAUUUUGGGCUACAAUAUAGACCAUGAUUUCGAUACAUUGAUAAUCCUGAACCCAUAAAUCCUAUGCUAAUAUGGCAUGUUAAUUAUUUGCAUAGUAUUUGAAUCCAUUCAAGCUUGAAUUUAGACCACAGAGGUCCUUCAACUCAAGGACGAGUUGAAACUAUUUUGAUCUAUUAAGUUUUAGUGGAUGUUGUAAUUUGUGUCAGCUUCUAUCGACCAUAAAUUUCUGUCUAUGUCAAAUUAGAGAGCCUACUAUGUAUCAAAUGAUAGGUCUUCGAGUUAGCUUUCCAAUGAUACCAAUUUUUCUAAAAUCUGGCACCCGAGCAAGAAGUUAUGGCCUUUCAAAGUACUAGGCGGCGCCUAUGUAAACAUAGGCGAUAGCAUAGGCGCCGCGGCGCCUAUGUAAACAUAGAGAUAGCAUAGCCAGCGCCUAUGUAAAGGUUUCAAGUGACUUAAACACUCAGUUUUUGGGGCAAAAUGGUCCUUUUCCACCCUUACUUAGCCCUAAACACAAAAUUCAGUUCCCAAAGACCCCAAAAUACACCUUCAUUCAUCAAAAUUGUUCAAGAACUCUCUAGGGUUUCAAAUAAAAACCCAAGCAAUUCAAGAUUCAACCAUGGGUUUUAGAAACUAAUUGUAUAUUUGGAAUCCUCUCAACAUAGGCUUUAAGAAACACCUAAUAGUUGUAGUAAUCGAGGUACGUGGGGUUAUCUCAAAAAACUCAUGGGCUUUAAAAAUUUAUGUUUUCAAAUGGGGGUUUUGAAAUACGAAUAUGAUUAUGUUUUAAACGUUUUAAGAUAUUGAUUUGGUCCUUAGGCCUACUCCCAAAAUGAUUUGCUAUAUAAUAUAUGUAUAUGCAUGUAUUCCAAAAAGAUGUUAACUUUAGAGCAUAAAUGAUAUAACAUUUCCUCUCUUGAUAUGAAUUUGUUUUAAAUGUUCAUAUGAUGUAAAUUAUUUGAAAAUAUCUUGAAGAGCAUGACAUGAAAUGUUUUUGAGAAUUGAUAUGAUUUUAACUUGAAAACGAGAAGGUUAUUCAUGUUGAAUACAAUGGUUGAAUGAGAAGAAUGAUGUGAUAUUAAUGGCUUGCAAGUUGGGUAUGACGAUACCCUGCAGAGUAUGACAUGUUAUUGUUUUGAACGAAGUUUAAGUGCAUUGAUUUUCAUAAGAAAGGUGGAUACUCGAAGAAGGCGUUUGAGUGAAAGGGCUCAUCGCUGGAAACUGUAGUUGCCGAUGCAGGUUAUAUGAUAUUGUAUCCUACAUGGGAGGAUUAAUAAAAUUAUUUGGGGGAUCUUACAUGGGGGGAUUCCAGCGGUGUGCUCACAUGGGGGGUAUCACUGGCUCCAAAUCCUGGCGGCUACUUGGAUUGAAGGCUCGGUCGUUGAGCUAAAAGGCGGAUUCCACAUAGCCGUGGAAUUACAAAUUGUAGGGUAUUCCACCUAGCUCAAAUACAUUGCAUUGUUGUUGAAAAAUCAUUACAUUAUGCCCAUGUGUUUUUCAAAUGAUUUAAUAUAAAACUGCUCUUAUAAUGGUUCUCACCUAUAUUUGGUAAAAAUAUUAUAUUUCUGUUUUGAUUUCUCUGCGUACCAGUACUUUUGUAUUGACCCCCCUUCCUCCCAGGUUCGAAGGCGCAGUCUAGGGGUCUAGAAAAUCAGUAGAUUUCUCAGACAGAGUUUUAGAGUCACUUGGUGAGCCUUCUAUAUUUCGGAAGGCCUGAUAUCUGGUAGUUUUAUUUAUCAUUUAUUAGUUUUGGAUCUACUGCGAGCCUUCUCCCAGUUUUCAGAUAGACAUUUGUUUCAGUCAUGUAGUAGAGAUAUUCGCAGACAUUAUCGAGAUGUUGUUUGAGAUUGAGGGACAUUAUCCCCCAUUAUUGCUUUUAUAUGAUUCUAGACCAUGUUUCUGUAAUAUUAUUUAUCUUCCGCAUUUCUUUUUCAUAUGAAUUAUGUGCAUGAUUACCACACAGAUAGGGGUGUUUCGGACCAUCAUGGUUCGGGAUACUCAUCACGGCCAGGGCACGGGUUCGGGUCGUGACAUGGAGUUAGUUGGGGAUAUGUCCCAUCAACUCCACAGUUCAGACAGUUUUGAGGCUUUUCAGAUAAAUGUAUCAGUAUUCAAUUUUUAGUUUUGAGUAUUGAUAUUUUGAACCUUUUGGCAAGUUUCUGCCAGUUUUCUGCAUUUAUUUCUGUAUAUUAUGCAGUGCUCAGUUACAGGUACCAGCACAGGGUUAUCUUGUGGUCCUUCGGGAUCAAGAGCAUUGUGCGGCAUUUCGGUUCCAGAAAAUCAGGGCGUUACACCCAUCUAUGGCUUAAAUUGAUAAACAGAUGACUAGCUAGUUGCAACAGAUGCCACAUCUGUUUAUAUUGUCAAAUAAUUGGAGACAUCUGUUACGACAAAUGAUCAAACUAUUGCAACAUAUGACGUAUCUGUUGCAAAAGAUUGCCAGUAUAUUGUAAGUUAUCUAACAGAAGGAAUAUAUUUUGCAACAGAUUACCCAUCUGUUAGGUUUAUUUUAAAGAAAUUUUCUCUUCUUUUCGAGAUACAAUAAUUUAUAAAUAGGUUCCUCCUUACAAAUACGGAUGAUCUAAAUUCGUACAAGAAUAUUCAUAUCGAUUCCUUGUGUGAACUUCAAAGGCAGUUUGAUGAACUCCAGAGAGAUUUGGCUGACUUCGGAGCAACGCUGGGGAGCAAGGCUACCGGAUGAAAAAUGUCUGAUUGACAAUAAUAAUAAUAUUAGUAAUAAUAAUUAGGUAAUAUUUUUUAUUUUAGCAUAUGUAUUUUCCUCCUUUUGUAUAUCGGAUCUACCCAAGGGAUUUAAAAAUCUAUACAUUUAUUUGGUGGUCGACUUUGAAUUUUUAAUUCUUAUUUAGUAUUUAAUAAUCAUUCUGUUUAUUCCUUGUUCUCAACAUGUCGAUAGUUGGUGGUAAGGAUUGAGCAAUUUGUGUCAACAGAGGUUAAUCUGAUGUGAUAGAUCGAUCAUAUAUUGCAUCAGAUAGUUAUUAAUAAAAAAAGAGUUAUUAUUGUUAUUGAGAGGGUGAAAAGACAUGACUUUCUGAUUAUUUAAUAUGAAAAAUAUUUCAUAAAUAAAUAAUAAGUAAAUAAAUGAUAAACACAAUUUAUAACUGUAAAAGAACGAUUAUUUAAUUUUAAUAACUGAUCGUGACUUUUCACCAUUUUUGUUUUUGAAUUUUUUUUAAAAAUUAUUUAUUAUAUAAUAAAAAAGUCAAAAUAUUGGAUUAAUUAACUUAUAUGAUGAUUGUUAAGAAAAACAAGGUGAAGGUCAUGACUUUUUGUCUAAAACAAAAACACAUACAUUCAACAGUGUUGCUGAUGCAUCAAAUUCUCCAUCUGUUUCGACUGAUGUAUCAGCUAUUAGAAGAAAUAAAAAAAAGAUGUUAACAUAGAACGUCUAUUUGUUGCUACAGAUGGUAUAUCUGUUGCAAUUGAUGGUUUAUCAGAUUCAACAGAUGUACAAUCUUUUACCAGAAAAUAAAAAUGGUUAUUAUUUCAUUAAAAAUUUUGAAAAGGUGUUUUUUUAAAAUUUAUAAAAUAAAAAAGUCAGCAAAUUUGGAUUAAUGAUAUGAUGAUAGUUUUUUUUUAGAAAAAAAGUAGAUUAUAUUUUGCAACAAAUAUAUUAUCUGAUGCAACAGAUUCACUAUUGUUGCAACAGGUGAUAUAUCUGUUGUCACAGAUAAUUUGUCUGAUGCAACCGAUAUAGAAUCUGUUGUCACAACUAAAUAAAAACAGUUCUUGGAAAGAACUAAUUAAUAAUAAUAAUCUGAAAAGCCAUGACUUAUCAAAAUAUUUCUUAAUUUAAUUAAGUCAUUACUUUUCACAGUAAUAAAAAAUAUAAUUAAUAAAUGGAGGUGAACAGUUAGAUUAUAUGUUGCAAUAGAUAGGUUAUCGGAUGCAACAAAUUAUAUAUUUGUUGCAACAGAUGAUAUAUCUGUUGUCACAAAUGUAUUAUCUGAUGUAACAAAUAUAGAAUCUGUUGCCACAGCUCAAUAAAAAUGCUUCUUGGAAAGAACUAAUUAAUAAUAAUAAUCUGAAAAGUCAUGACUUAUCACAAUAUUUAUUUUCUUAAUUUAAUCAAAAAUAUAAUUAAUGAAUGGAGGUGAAUAGUUGCGCCUUUUCGCCUCUCAUUCAAAUUCAAUCUUCUAUAAAUAGGUCUCUUCUUACUCAAUCGUUCAUUCAACUAUACUCUAUUUAUUUGUUGUAUCCCGUCUUUCAUAUUACACUCUAGAAGAUUAUCGCUGACCCAAUGUGGGACAUUGCUUUUCUACAAGACGCCGUGAAUGAACUUCAAAAUCAAGUUCGUGACCUGCAAUGGGAACUGGGAGGAGUUAGAACAAGAAUGCUUCGCGAGAUAUGUAGGUUGAGGAGGGCCUUGCUACUUCCAGUUGAAGAUUGGCCGGCUGGCAAUGAUGAUGAUAAUAAUAAUAACAAUAAUAAUAAUAAUAAUAAUAAUAAUAAUUAGAUUAUCAUUUUUCUUUUAGUCUAUUAUAUGUAUUUUUAUUCAUUUUUAUUUAAUAAAAAAUUAUGUUUGAUCUUUGACGUUUUAAUCCAUAUUUAAUUUUUAUUCUGUCUAUUAUGUUUUCGACAAACAUUUCGACGAUUCGUCGUAAAAAGAAAUAAUUUAAAAUCCAGUAGCAAUAGAAAGAUUUAUCUAUUGGGUUUGUGGCAGGGGUUGAUGUAUUGUUCAAAAAAGAUUACUUAUAUGUUGCAAUAGAUAAGAAGUCUGAUACAAUAGAUAAAUAGUCUAUUUCAACAGAUGACUAGUUUGUUGCUUAGUUCUGACGUUUUAAUUCAUACUCCCUCCGUCUCAAAUUAUCCAUCCCUAAUUGAGAUGCCACAUUGAUUAAGAAAAAUAAUUAAUAAUAUGUCUAGUUUACCAUAACCCACUGAUCAGUUGGUGGGACAAUAUACGUGUUUGAAAUAACCAUUUUUUUUAUUCAAUCCUAAUUUCAUAAGAGAAGAAAGCUUUUAAUGUCAGUUGGCAGAUAGUCCCCUUAUUAAAUGAUAUUUCUAUUUUAAUUUGAAGAAAAGGUGAUUAAUGCAAAGGAUAAAAUAUGGAUUUUUUUUAUCAUUUCUUGAUUAAUGAAAAAGACAAGUAAAAUGAGAAAUCGAAUUAGAAAAUUUGGGAUGGGUAAUUGGACGUAAGGAAUAAUAUUGAAUCUAGUAGAAAUAGAAAGAGUUGAAAUAUAUUGGUUAUCUGUUGGGUUUGUGGCAGGGGCUGAUUUGUUUUGUUCCAAACAGAUUAAUCAUUCGAUGCAAUAGAUAAACAUUCUGAUACAAUAGAUAAUACGUCUGAUGCAACAGAUAAACAAUCUGAUGCAACAGAUAAACAGUCUGAUGUAAUAGAUAAAUCUUCUGAUGCAACAGACUACUCAUCUGAUGCACCAGGUGAUUGAUCUAUUUAAAUUAUGGACACUUAUAUUGGAUUCAUGAUCGGGGUUCUAUCCAUUGUUGGAAAAACAAAAGUAUACCCAUAUGACAAAUACGAAUAAAAAUUAUAAUUUUACUUACCAAAGUCACCUAUGAAGUAAUGUCAAAGUGGAAAGUGAUGUUGUAAACAAAAUUUGACCUAAAAAAUUGGCCAGAUAGAAGCAAUAGCGUUAUGCCAACAAUAAUAACAACAACAAAUAGUCGACAAGAAAAAAAUAAAGACAAUAAUGAAGUAGAAGAUGUGAUAAUGAAGCAGAAUAUGAUGAAUAAAGCAGUAGAAACAAUGAACAACAAAAAUCAGUAAGAGAGAGAAAACAACAAGGGAUGAGACGAGAGAGAAGGCACCUUUUUCCCCUCCGUUUCUUGUUAUUUUAGGUAAAUAUUGGGAUCAAAGUGUAAAUUUAAAAACUUGUGAGUUAUUUUCAAACUUUUCCAACUUUUUUAAUCCAUAAUAAAGUAAUUAUCACCUCCAACUAAUAAUUAAGACUUGUGUCACCUACACCUCAUUUUAAAACUCUUUUGUCACCUGUGACCCAAAGCCCCUAGUGUCUUGGAAAAGAACGGGAGUGAGCAAAAGAUUUUUUUUGGAUCGAGUAAAAUGCCUAUUCUACCCUUGAUCAUCUUAUGGUCACUCUUAUAUAUAGUAGAAAUGAAUGUACUCUCGAUCACCCUAUAUGAAAAGAACCCCAAAAAGGCAAGGACAAAAAAAAAUAAAGAAAACAAUGAAUAAUGAUUGAGAAAAAAUUGAGAUAUGAACAAACCUUCAAUUGUAAUCUGCUGUAAAGAUAAAGAGAACAAAAAUAGUUCACUGACGGUGAGUAAAAUUGAAAAAACACUGUGAAACUUUGAGAUUAUGCCAGAGAGAUGGUGAUAUAGAUGUUUCUAGAUAUACGUAGUGUCUUGGAAAAGAAUGGGAGUGAGCAACAGAUUUUUUUUUGGACUGGGUAAAAUGUCUAUUCUACCCUUGGUCGUCCUAUGGUCACUCUUCUAUAUAGUAGAAUAUAGUAGAAACUAGACUAGAUAAUGAAGGGCCAUUUUACGGGCCCAAUAUUAAUAUUUUAGAUAUGUUUAUAGGUAUUUAAUUAGUUUUUUAAAUGACCAUCAAUAUUUUCAAAUUAGCACAAUCGAAAAUGAUAAUAAAGAUACACGUUAUAAUAAAGUGUCAAUUAUAUUAAUAUUUUUUUAAUAGAAUCAUACAAAAUAACCAAAAAAAUAAAAAAUAAUCCAUCUAUAAAUUUAUUUUAAAUGCACUGAAAUUCAUUUUGUUGGGGUUUAGUGAAUGAAAUUCAACCUAUUUGAUAGAAGUUAAAAUUAAUCAUAUCAUUCUUUACAAAGUGAUAAAAAAAAAGUUAUGGUUUGACAUCUUAUUUCAUAUACUAUAAAAUCAAGAUAAUAAUUUAGUAUAUAUAUUUUUUUUUUAAAAAAAAGUGAUUUGUAUACCUGAUGAGAGAAUAUACUGCUUCAAAAUAUUUUUUUUUUUUUGAAGAUUGUAAAUGUGUUGUAAAAAUAUAUAUGAAGUUAAGUGUACACAUUAUAACGUCUUAAUAUAAUAUGAACAAACGUACCAAUUAAAUAAAAUAAAUUAUAGUUUUAGAAUUAUCUUUAGUAUAUAUAGUUUUAAAAUUAAAUGAAUAUUUUUUCAUCAUUUAUCAGUAUCUUUUUUUAUUAUUUUAUUAUUAAUAUAGUACUCCAUCCAUUUUGAUCCAUUUAAAAGGAGAAUGUCUCUUUAUUUUUUAUAAUUUUUUAAUCAAUUCUGCAAAAUUAAAAAGCAUUUUGAUACAUUAUACAUAUCUUUAGCCUAUUAAUAUAACAUUCAACUUUUUUAAUUUGUUAAUUCAAUAUCUAAUCAAAAUCAGACAAAUAAAUAACACUUACUAAUUAAACUCUUUUCUCUAAGUAUGAACUAAACGUGUCAAUUAUUUCCAUAUCAGUUCAAUCCCAUUAUAAUUUAUUAUUUCAUUGCAAAGUAAUCUCAAGUCAUAGUUUAAAACGUUACUCAUCAAAAAUCUUAUUUUAUAUAAUGGACUAAAUUUUAAAUAAGAAAUUCAACUUUGGUAUGACAUAAUAUCUGUGAUGGUUUAUAAAUUAAUUUCAAUGAAUUUUAUAAGUUUGUUAUAAUUAUUAGAAGUUUAUGACAAUAUCCUUUGGCUAAAACAUAAUUUUUGAAGCUUUGAAUUUUUAAAAUACAUAUAUACAUAUUCAGAAGCACAAUUUUACAUCUACAUGUUUUGUAUUUUUUUCUUUAGAAAUGCACCAUUCUGUUAAUAUUCUAUCUAUUUCAGUUUGUUUGGUCUAUUUUAAUUUGGUACGAAAUUUAAAAGAGUAAAAUAUUUUGUUUGAAUAUUGUGAUAUUAAUUAAAUAAAAGAUAUGUCAAAUAUAUCAAAAUAUUUUUUAAUUUUAUAAUCUUGAAUAUGACACGUGGAAAGUUAAAAUUACAGAUGUUGCUAAAAAAUGAAAAAGAUUUUUUUUAUUUAAAAAAGAAAUAAAUCAAACAAAUUGAACUGAAGAAAGUAAUAAAUAAUGACAAACAAAACUUCCACAAAAAAUAAAAAAAUAAAACAAGAAAAAAAAAAUAGAACAUGAAAGAAAAUUGAUGAUAAUUGAACAUUUUGAUUUUUUUUACAAUAAACACUAGAUUUGAAUAAAUUCGUGUAGGAAUAAAGAAAAUGGGCCCUAGUAUUACAUGUGGUUGAAGAUAAUUAGUGAUGGAAUAAGACAAGGUAAAAUACAUAGUACAAUUUGUAUUGCAUAUUGUACAAUUUUUCAUAGCCAUGGCCGUCCUUCCUUGGCUUUUCUAUAUAAUAAUCAAAAUAUAAUAAAAUAAAAUAUAAUAAAAAACUAUUAAUAUAGUACUCCAUCCAUUUUGAUCCAUUUAGGAGAAUGUCUCUUUAUUUUUGAUAAUUUUUUAAACAAUUCUGCAAAACUAAAGAGUAUUUUGAUACAUUAUACAUAUCUUCAGCCUAUUAGUAUAAGAUUCAAAAAUCUUUUUAUAAUUUAUUAAAAUUCAAUAUCAAAUAAAAAUCAGACAAAUAAAUAACACUAACUAAUUAAACUCUUUUCUCUAAGUAUGAACUAAAGGUGUUAAUUGUUUCCAUAUCUGUUCAAUCCCAUUAAAAUUUAUUAUUUCAUUGCAAUAUCUUAAUUAAAAGUAAUCUCAAGUCAUAGUUUAAAACUUUACUCAUCAAUAAUCUUAUAUUAUGUAAUGAACUAAAAUUUUAAAUAAGGAAUUCAACUUUGGUAUGACAUAAUAUCUGUAAUGGUUUACAAAUUAAUUUCAAUGAAUUUUAUAAGUUUGUUAUAAUUUUUAGAAGUUUAUGAAAAUAACCUUUGGCUAAAACAUAAUUUUAGAAGCUUUGAAUUUUGAAAAUACACAUAUACAUAUUCAGAAGCACAAUUUAACAUCUCCAAGUUUUGUAUUUUUUUCUUAGAAAUGCACCAUUCUGUUAAUACUUUAUCUCUUCCAGUUUGUUUGGUCUAUUUUAAUUUGGUACAAAAUUUAAGAAAUUAAAAUAUUUUUUUGAAUAUUGUGAUAUUAAUUAAAUAAAAGAUAUGUAAAGUAUAUCAAAAUAUUCUUUAAUUUUAUAAUCUUAAAUGUGACAUGUGGAAAGUUAAAAUUACAGAUGUUGCUAAAAAAUGAAAAAAAAUUUUUUAUUUAAAAAAGAAAUAAAUCAAACAAAUUGAACCGAAGAAAGUACUAAAUAAUGAAAAACAAAGCUUCCACAAAAAAUAAAAAUAUAAAAAUGUGAAAAAUAGAACAUGAAAGAAAAUUGAUGAUAAUUGAGCAUUUUGAUUUUUUUACAAUAAACACUAGAUUUGAAUAAAUUUGUGUAGGAAUAAAGAGAAUGGGCCCAAGUAUUGCAUGUGGUUGAAGAUAAUUGGUGAUGGAACAAGACAAGAUAAAAUACAUAGUACUAUUUGUAUUGCAUAUUGUACAAUUUUUCAAAGCCAUGGUCGUCCUUCCUUGGAUUUUCUAUAUAAUAAAUAUAAAAUAAUAAAUAUAUUUAAUAAUAAAUAAAAUAUAAUAUAAAUAGUUUCAUUAGUCCCGUGCUAAGCCUGGUCCCAAAUUCAAAGUAUAAAAAUAAUAAUUUAUAUCAUAUGUUUUUCUAUUUUAUAAUUAGUAUAUCUAAUGAUCUGUUUAAUAAGUCUUGUUGAUGAGUUUUUAUAAUUAUUAGAUUUUGUAAUCACAUAAUUGGGUAAUUUAAAAAAAAAAUAUGAUGAGGAAGAAGAUAUUAUUUGAGAAUUAGAAUAUAUCAAAAAACUACAAGUGAUUCGGUAUUUUAUAGAAUGACAUAAAUUUAAAAUAUUUAAUAAUCACGCUUCGAUGAAGAUCAUAAAUAGAAAAAAAUAUUGAUAUUCUUAUAAAGUUUGCAAGUAAUUUUUUUUUAGUUAUAGAUAAAAAUAAAUUUAUUUCGAUAUUUAUUGAGUUUUAGUUUCCCUCAAAAUUUUAGUGGCAAUUUUUUUUCUAAUUACAUUUUUUCAUCUUAUAGAAUCAUCUGAAAAAAGUCAAUGCUUUCAAAUUUAUAUUAUAAUAAUUAUAACCUCAAUUAAGAGCCUUCAUAUAAAUUAACUUAAUAAGAAUAUAUAAGGAUAAUAAAUGAUAAUUAAACUACAUUAAUAGCUUGCUCCAUUCGGUCUAUUUACUUAUUAUAUUUAUUUUUUACACACCCCUUACAAUAGUAACCUAUUCGUCCCAUUUUAGUUAUUGUUUUGUACUUUUUCAUGUCCAUUACGAGAAACAAUAAAUACAAGAUAUUAUUUACUACACUAUAAUAUAAAAAAAAAUAACUAUUAGGUUGUAGUUGAAAUCAUCGAAAACUUUAAUUUUGCAGGAAAAGUUAGCUUGAAUAUUGUUGAUUUAAAAUAAAAGAAAUUUUAGUUAAAUAGUAAUCUAACAUGUGGCAAGAAGAAAGCAAUUAUAAAAGCCCCAGUGGAAUAAUCUUAACAAAAAGUAUAAAGGCGAAAAUGGAAAUAUGUAAAAAAAAAAUAUCAUUAAUUAUCAUGUGUAAUAAUUUCAUUUCACCAAAAAAUUAAAAUAUCAAAAAAGCCCUUGCGAGGACAACCAAAAUUUCAAGAUCAUCUAUGCUUUAGUGGUAAAAGAAGAUUGUCUUCAAAAAUUGUUCAAAUUUUAUCAUUUUAUUUUUCAAAAAAUAAAUUGACUUAUUUUUGAGCUAAACUGUAUUAGUUCAAUAAAAUUAGAAAUUAGAUAUUCAAAACUAUAUGGAAAAUAAAUAUCAUAAAUUGCAAUGAUUAUAUUAACAUAAUAAUAUUUUUUUCUUAAAAAAAUUGAUUAAAGUUCAUAUAAUUUGAUCCUCAAAAGUGAAAUGUAACAAAUAUUUAAAAAUGAUGAAGAAAAUAAUUUAAUAAAACCAAAAAGAAAUUCAACCAGUUACAAAGGUUCAUGUGGAAAAUCUUAAAAGGAGAAUUUGGACAAAGAAAUACCACAUGUAAGACUUUCAUAUCAUGAAUUUUAAUAUGAGGACUACCAAAACUUUUAUUCUUCCUUAUAUAUAGUAAAUAAUAAUAUAUUGAUCAUGUUCUAAAUGAAAUAAAUGACUAGGAUAAGAAAAUUAAUUUAUUAAUAAUAAAUAAAACUUUAAUAUCUAUUUAUACUAGCGAAAAUAAUAAAUAAAAAUAACUUUAUAAACAUAUUCCAAUGCAUGUAAUAUAAUAAUGUAUAGUAAAAACGAAGAUAUAUUCUAUAAUAAAUUAUGACGACCCAAAAAAAAGGAUCAUGAUGACACUUGUUGCGGAAAACCUUGACAAGUAAGUCUCUCACCCAAAUGGGUAUACACAGGGAAAAGAUAGAAAUGCCCCCAAGGUAAUGCUUCUAGAAUGAAGUCUAACUACAUAAAUAUAAUAAAAGCGGAAAGAAUAAAAUCAACAAAUGCAAUCAUAACUCCCAAAACCUGGUGUUAAAGUAUAAGAACUACUAAUACAAUUUCGGAGUCAAAUACAUUAGAAAAAUAACCACAAAGAAAAAUAUUUAUCUUCGAACACUAAUAAAGACAUAACUAAUACAGAAAGAUAGAGGUGAACUCCAGACGCAUGAACGUCCAACUGCUACCUUGAGAAAUUUGAAGGUACUUGAAAUCAACCCAUCUGAGACACACUCGAGCUAGAACCUGCAUCAAAAGAGCGCUUAGGUGUGAGUACGGCCCACUUGUACUCAGUAGGUAUCACAGCCGACCAAGAAAAGUUGUAAAUAAAGUAUACAAAAUAUACACUAAGGGCACGUUGUAUGUAAUCAGAAAAUGUCCCACAACGGUAUCCCACACCGCUUGCACUAAUAGUUCUACAAUAUCCGCAUAUAAUACACAACACACAAGAUAGGGAUACAAAUAUACACAAUAUCACAUACAAGUAGGACAAAAGAGGGACAUGUAUAGUCAAGGUCAUCAAGUAUAGUUAAAGGAAAUAGAACAAUUAGACAUUAAAAAGUCAAGAUAUAGAACAAAUAGGUAGAUAACAAGUCAAUAUGUCAAUUCAAACACAACAUAAACACAAUAAAGCGGGUGCAAUGUAUAUGAUAAUGAUGAUGAUGAUGAUGAUGAUGCAUGGGAUUUCCACACAACCUUGAGUUUGGCAUACAGCCUCAUGAUCACUAAUAGCCAUAACUUUUCUUUGACAUGAUCAUUCAGAGAUGGUCCAUAAAACCAAUAUCCGAUACCAAUAUCUAAUAUUCCAGUGUUUUCAGUAUUUUCAAAGCACAUACAUAACAUAAUACACAAAUUAAAUACACAUACAUCACAACAAGUAUAUGUAAAUCAAUAAAACAAACUAGUGAAAUGAGGCGUAUGAUGACAUGAGAAUGAUGAUGAAAUGUUCACAACUAUUCAAAAUGAGUAUUUCUACAACCAAUUCACAUAAUGUAUUUUCAUAGCCAACCAUAAUGUUACAAUUCCACAACUACGUGAGCCAAUAUCCACUCAUUACUUCCAUUUUUGUAAGACCCUGUAAUGUCCUAGCCCAUUUCAGCCCUUUAUAGAAUGCCAAAAGAGGUCCCAAACUUAGAAAAUUUCAGCGAAGUGUUAAGACUUAGUCUCAAUUUUGACCUUGAUAUUUUAAUGGUCUCAUUUUUAUUUUUUUGGCCUUAGAUUGUCGAUUUUUGUAAAUUAAUUCAUGAUCAAGGUUAUUUAUAGGUCAUCUAAGGUAAGUUUCAUAAUUUUCAAACAUCAUUUGAGACACAUUUGGAUGACCAAAACAGCAAGCCAAUGCGAUCAAGAUGUGUCAUGUUGGCUAUUUGUCAUCACCAUCGACGCGGUGCAUCAAUAAUUGCAUCGACACCAUCGAUGCAGUGCAUUGCCUGUUGUGUCACUGGGCACUUUUGCUUACUAAAUUACAGGUUUGUGGGGGAAAAAGAGUCAUUUUUCACCCAUCUUAACCAACCUAUAUCACAAAAUUAAGGGUCCAAAAGGGCAAAUAUACUCAUCAUUUCACAAAUUCUCUCAAGAAUAAAGCCCUAGUUUCUUUAAGUUCAAGUCAAAGUUUCAAGAAUUCACCAACAAUUCUCAUGAAUUCAAAAAUCAAGGUAUGUUUAGGUAUUCAUCCUUGGCUUCCUUCAACCCUUGGAGUUCAAGAAUCUUUUUUCAAGUACUUAGAUUUUAUUUACAUCCUUGAAUGGAACUAUGUUUAUGUAUGUGAUGUUGUGUGGAUUUCAAGUCAAGAAUAAUUUGAGUUUCAUGUGAAUCAACUAGAAUGCAUGUUGAUAUAUGUAACCCCCAUGUUUAAUCUUUGAAUUUUGGUGUUGAAUGUGGUAGACAUGAUAUUCAAAUAUUUAUCAUCCUCAUGUACAAGAUUUAUGUAUCCUAGGUGUUUAACAAAAUGUCUAUGUGAAACAAUUAUGCAUGAUGACCUGUGUGUGAUGCUUUUAGAGUUGAGAUAUGAUUUCAUUAUCUAUGCUAUCGAGUCCUGUGGGUAUUGAAUACCCAAUAUUUAGCUAUUAUCUAGUAUCCAGUUAAAUUAGAAGGAUUCCAUAGUAUCCUAAACAGUAGCACACAGCCAGUCAACAGAAUCAGUGUGCGUUUAUUCAAGCCUAGUACAAUCUAGUGAUCAGUUUAGUGUCGAUUUAGUUGGGAGUAGGAUUCAGUAUCGAGCGAACCCAGGCUGGUGUCAUUCCUGUCAGUAGAGGUUUUGACCCUUAGUAGCAGUCCCUACAUUACAGAACUACGUAGCCAGCGUAGGGUAAAUCAUCUUCCCGCCAGACUAGAGUUGAUGUAACAAUAUGCAUCUCAUGAUUCUUCCUGCCAGAUUAGGGUCGGCCCAGAUCCUGUUAGUAAUAUGUGGCACUGUGCUAAUGCUCUUCCAACUGGGGUUAUAGGUUAGACCCCAUAUCAGUCUAUAAUUAGGGUAUAUCAGCUAGAUAAUAACUCCUACAGUUACAGUUUUAGUAUUCAGUAUUCAGUAAAUCUGUAUCUAGUAUUCAAUAUUCAGUACAAAACUCAGUGCAUUUCUACACAAUCAUGACUUACAAUUAUCAGUUACUCAAUUAUUAGAAACUUAGUACUUCAGCUUCAAACUAAUUCAGACAUAUGAUAUAUGCUUAGUAUUACGUGUUCAGCACUUAUAGUAGUCCCAAUCUUGCAUAUCCUCUCAUCCAGUUAUUCCAUGAUAUUUAGUUAUUAUUCUCAUACAUAUGAACCCAUGCAUAUCAGCCCAACCUUACCUAGGAUACCAGUACAUUCAAAGUACUGACGCAUACUCUUUAUUUACGCUACGAUGCCUCAUAUAAUAGGUUCAAAUGCUCGGGUUCCUGACCAUACCUAGCCAAAUUAGUCUAUCAGCCAAAGCUACAGUAGUGAGUCCUCAUCCAUUAAGGAUGUGACACCCAUUUAGUUAUUUUAUUAUUUAUAAUAUUCAAGCUUUUCAGUUACUUCCAGACAACAGUUGUGAGUUAAUUGGGGCCUGUCCCAUAAAAUCUUUUAUUUCAGUUGUUUAGAGGCUUUCAGACACUAAUAGUUAGUAGUUAUUCUGCAGAUGUACUCAGUAUUGAAUUACUUUUAUGAACCUUAUGGCAUUUUCAAUUUUACUUCCGUAUUGUUUCAUGAUUAUUAAUUGGUUCUCACAGCAGGUACCAUUCAUGGGUUAACUUAUGGUCCUAUAGGGUCAUAAGCAUCGUGUAAUGGCCAGGGUAUCAUCUCUGGGCAUUACAAACUUGGUAUUAGAGCCUAAGGUUCUAAAGAGUCCUAGGGAGUCUGAAACCUGCGUCAAGUAGGGUCUUGUGCAUGGGUGUGCAGUGUGCCACACUUAUGGACAAGAGUCUAUGAGAUAUUUUUAGGAAAGUUCUCUUCUUUUAGUGUUCAUAUUGUGCGAGUGAGCAUGUUCUCAAGUAAAAUCUCUGUCUAAUUCCAAUCUUCCUUCCAUUUAUAAAAUAUGCCUCCUAGAAAGACUAAUGGAAAAAGAAAUGAGAAUAAACUCGCACCUCCGCUAGUACAGGAAGAUCACCUGAAUAAGCAUGUCUAUCACGCCGAAUUUAGAGCUGAUUUCACUACCUUAGCUUAUUUAGUAGUUUCUCAAAACAAUCUGCCAGCUGUUGUCCUAUAUACGCUUUUGAUUUAUGCUCAGUCGAGCGAGAGGGAGGAGCGUAGGAAGAAAGAGAGAAAGAAUAAAAGGGUCAGAACAAGUAGUUUUAAGCCUAGGUCAAGGGGUAGUAACCGCUCCCAAUAUCAUUAGAAAUUCUCAGUCCCAGCUUUGGCUUCAGCCAGUGCGCCAGUGCCUAAUUUUAAGAAUGAUAGUCGAGUUAAAGCAUCAGUCUCAAAGUCACAAGGUAGUGGGAAGGGUGUUUGUACUAAUCUACUUUGCGAAGAAUAUGGUACGAAUCCUACGGGUAUGUGUAGAGAUGAUAGUGAUGUGUGUUUUAGGCAUGGCAAGCUAGGCCAUAGAGUUAGAGAUUGCCUAAAGAGUGGUCAGCAGGGUUGGCCCAACCGUCCUCCAGUUUUAUCCAAUCACUUAACUCAGCAGGGUGUUGUCGCUUUCAGUGCUAAUAUUGGUCAGCGUCAGAAUAGGUUAUAUGCAAUUCAGUCCCGAUAGGAUCAGGAAAAUUCUCUUGAUGUGGUUACGGGUACGUUGCCAGCCAUUCAUUUACAUUUUUAUGCCUUGUUAGAUCUUGGAUCUUCUCUUUGUUUUGUAACCCCCAAUGAAGUUUUCAAGUUCAGUGUCAGUCCCAAGACCUUAGCAGAGCCCUUCUACCCCAGUGGGUACACCUAUCCUAGCUAGAUGAGUAUACAUAAAUUGUCCGAUUAUAGUAUCCCAGUAAAUCACUUUAGUGGAUUUUAGAAAUAGAGUAGUUCAGUUCCAGCUUCUCAAUGAACCAGUUAGUAAUGAAGGGGUUGUACCUCAGUGCUUGGAAGUCAUACAUGAUUUUAGCUUCCUUCUCAGAAUCCUAUGAAAACAUAUGAUCUAAAGUUAGAAGCAUAAAACCAGAAGUUUAGCAACAAUAGUAGAGUUGGGAUGGUGUUAUCUGAAGUUGAGCAGAUUGUAUAUUUCAUGGGACUAGUCAUGUGAAAGGUUAAUCAAUAGAAUUGAAGCAGUGUAUAUAACAAUUUAAGUUUGUUGAUUCAAAAUAUGUGUUGUGGAUGUGAUAUUUGUAGUCUAUGAUGAAAGUAGUAUAAUUAUUAAAGAAUUGGGGAUAUCCAUGUUAUGUGUUAGGAUCUAAGUUUGACUCUUUGAAGGUUGAGCUAAUAGAAAGAGAAGUAGAAAAUUCUAAGUUAGUCAGUUCUUAAGUUGUUACAUGAUUUAUUUGGGGCUAUAGAAAGUUAAGAGUUCUAUCUCAAAAAGAAGUAUCAGCAGUAGGGUUUUACACUUUCAGGUGUAGUCUUUCAGGGUGAGUUUAGUGUUUAUGAGUAUUGUUAUAUCUCAGACUCUAGGGUAAUAUAGUUUCAUUACAGUUUAGAGAUGUUGGUUAAGUGGUCCACAGACUUAGAAGGAUGGCUUUAAGCUAAAGGGGAGAUACUAGAACAAGAGACCAAGUCAGGCUCUCAAAUUCUAGUAUUGAUGCCAGUUUGUUGUAGAACAACACUAAGAAGGGGAAUGCCCAAGCCAUGAUUAUUUUAGUAUUUGUACUUCAGUUAUUAUGAUAUAUACUCAUGCCUUGCAUAUCAGCUAUAUGCUAAUAGCUCAUAUUCAUGCACUUUUCAUAGAAUUAUGUACGAUUCCAGUCCCUUGUAUGAGAAGUUCCAGUAUGCUCAACAGUAUGAAUCAUGUUCCAUGAAUUCAAAAAUUUCAAACUUACGUCAUGCAGCUCAUGACUCAUGUGCUCAUGAUCUAUAGUAUGUUCAAUUCCAGUAUUCAUGCAACACUCCUAAUGAUCAACGAGAUCUAGAUUAUGUCAUGUAUAUUCUCAGUUUAGGUUUCCUGAUAAACCCAUGAUGUUGAUAUUCAAUUCCUCAAGCCUCUUUUAAGUGUCAAGUUCUGUACAGUGUUCAUUCAUGCUUCAGGUCCUCAUGUUUUAGCCUUUGAGUGACCUCUCCUUAUGAAAUGAUGUAGUGAUGAGCAAUUGCUUAGAUGGGACAGAGUAAAUAUUUUAUGUUAAGAAAAGAUUUUUGCAUGCUUGUUUUACUCGAGGCUGUAGUUAUGAAGAUAGGCUUGAAUGUUAUGUUGAUGUGUAAGUGGAUAAAUGUAUUACGUAUUAGUAAAUGGCUAGUAAGAGGUUAUAUUUAAUUGUUGAAUGUGAAAUCAGAUUUAUUCAUGAAAUGAGAGGUUGUGAAAAUGCAGGGUGUGUUAAAUUCAGGAUUCAGACUAGUAUUACAGUGUUAUGUGUACAUUUCUUAGAUCUGAGUAGGCUUGUACAUAGUAGGAGAAUUCAGUCCAGCUCAGACUUCAAUAAGUAGAGUUAUUAGUGCCAAUGUGAAUAUUUCCAAUAGUCUCAGGUGAAGUGCAGUAUUAAGGUAGAAGGUA